This 56475-nucleotide long non-coding RNA is filed under the name Nicotiana tabacum (common tobacco). RNAcentral describes it as "long non-coding RNA (NTAB_LNC016523)". Lineage: Eukaryota; Viridiplantae; Streptophyta; Magnoliopsida; Solanales; Solanaceae. The record is from RNAcentral.
AUCUAUGCAACAGAGCUUGUGGAAGCUGCUGCCAUAGAUGUCAUUGCGUACCACCAGGGACUUCUGGCAAUUAUGAAGCUUGUCCUUGCUAUUUCAACCUUACUACUCAUAACAACACUCGCAAAUGUCCUUAAAAUUUAUCAGCUUAAUUAUAAUGUUCUUCUACUUUGUCCUCAAAAAGGGACUCCAUUUUCAAAAGCAAGUGUAGCUUUAAGCUUAUUAGAUGGUUUUAUGUCCAAAUAAACAAGCCAGCUGUUCAUUUGAAAUUCAAUUCAUUUGUUCUCUCUGUGUACGAGGUUUGUAAUGCAAAUUUGAUUUUCUAUUUCUAUUGACUAGUUGUUCCACCUGUUGUGCAUAGUAUGGAUCAUUCGUUGAGAGAUUCCUUUGUUUUUGAAUUAUCUUGGCUGAUAUUAUUAGAAGUAAAACAAUAAUACAUAGAGGGAAUUAGGUUUGAACAUUCCUAGAUCUAGUUUAUUAAUUCUACAUGUGAGAUGUGAUUAGGAUAGAGCCUCGAUAAUGUAAAUUCUGGAAAAAGGAGCACACAACUUUCAUUCUUUUUGCUAUUGAAAAUAACACUUCUUAUUCCCAAUUUAUAUAGCACCGUUUAAUUAGCCAGGAAGUUUAUAAGGAACUUGGUUAGAUAGCAUAGAAUUCUUCUUAAUUUGUCAACUAAAUUAAUAUGGUGUUAAAAUAAAGAUACUGACGCACAUAUCUGCCAAAUGAGUCAUAUUUAAUUGAGAACUGAUCUCUAAUCAGUAUUGAAUAACUUUUUCAACGUAUGUUUUCAUAAACAUCCACGUGGGAUGCUAUCUUCUUCGUUACUCAAAAACAAACAAGGCCGAUCGUCAUGAUUGACUUUGAAUGGACCUCUAAUUGAUGUUAAUAAUGUGUUUGAGGUGCCACUGUUUUGAUCCUCUCUUAUGAUUUCCAUUUUGAUAAAUCAGUAUUCUCAAUAUUAGUGGGAGAAAAUAAGUAAUUGCAAAAAGAAAUAGAUUUGAAUGAAUUAUCACUAUCUCAUUUAUAACCUCGAAUAAAUCAAUGUGAACACGAGGUUCAAAAAAUAAUUUAUUUGCAAAAUAUUACAAAUCAACUGUCAGAUGCAUUCACUAACCUAUCAAGGGUGACUAAGUCACAUAUUCCAGCUGCUAAUGCUUCUAUUCGAAUUGAUGUCCCGAUUGGACAAUCUAUAAAUACAAAUGAGUCUAAGCGCCUUUAUAAAAUCCUAGAAAGCGAAAAGGAGCAAAUGAUCUAGGAGAUCAUAAUAUGGAGGCAAUUGAUUUGCACUCCAACUAGUAUGAGUCCGGAACCUAAAUGUGGUCUUUUUAGACUCAAAUAACCGAAAUGAGUGGAAAAAAAAAUAAUGUGACCAAACUAUAUAUAGCACCCUUUUAAAGGGCGUUAUACAUGAAGUUGAUUAGACUAGCAGGUAUAGCGCCUUUAUAAACAGCGUUAUACAUAUUUCGACCCCCCCGGAUUGGGCAUUGGCUUAUUUAAAGGCGUUAAGGAUUUUGCAAAAAUUCAUUCAGAAAUAUUCUCAACUCCUAUUAAAUUUUUCUUCUUGUUAAAUUCUCAAGCAUUUUGUCAUAAUGUCUGAAGAGCGAAAAGUAAGGGUUUCAUUAUAUUGAGGAGUGAGGUUGUAGUGGCGAAUAACUCAGUGAGCUAUAGUUUAUCUCCAUAGCGUCAUAUUAAGUUGCCACUUACAAUGGAGUACGAUAGACUUGUAUCGUUGUUGUGUAACAAAAUGAGUGUGAGCAAACGUUCGGUGAACCUUAAAGUAACAGGAAGAUAUCCGUAUUUUGUCACUCCGCAAGGGAUUGCUUCUUAUGUUGAGUUUAACAUCCAGGAUGAUGAAACUUUGAGUGAUAUUUUGAGGACUACGGAUGAAUACCGGAAAUUUCUUUUGAUAAAAAUGUUAGAAAUGUACGUGAAGGUUGAAGACGUUCGCAAUAAUGAGGUGGCGCAAAGCAGGGAUAACCCUCAGUCAUCGGGUGGUUAUUCUGGAGUAGGUUUUGCCGAACAGGUUCCGGCUGAAAGAGUUUGGCCUGAUUUAAACUUAUCUCCACGAGCGAAUGAGGAGCGAAAAAAUAAUUUCUCUCCUACUUUACAUAAUUCACAAGACGAGUGAUAAACUUCAAUUUUCCUUUGUGUUACGAUAUUUAUUUUUGUUGUAAUGAAUUUGUAUUAACACUCAUAUAUUCCACAGUGGGUACCGACAAGAUAUGAAUUUUACAAGUUAUGAACCCACGCCUAUGUUGGAANNNNNNNNNNNNNNNNNNNNNNNNNNNNNNNNNNNNNNNNNNNNNNNNNNNNNNNNNNNNNNNNNNNNNNNNNNNNNNNNNNNNNNNNNNNNNNNNNNNNNNNNNNNNNNNNNNNNNNNNNNNNNNNNNNNNNNNNNNNNNNNNNNNNNNNNNNNNNNNNNNNNNNNNNNNNNNNNNNNNNNNNNNNNNNNNNNNNNNNNNNNNNNNNNNNNNNNNNNNNNNNNNNNNNNNNNNNNNNNNNNNNNNNNNNNNNNNNNNNNNNNNNNNNNNNNNNNNNNNNNNNNNNNNNNNNNNNNNNNNNNNNNNNNNNNNNNNNNNNNNNNNNNNNNNNNNNNNNNNNNNNNNNNNNNNNNNNNNNNNNNNNNNNNNNNNNNNNNNNNNNNNNNNNNNNNNNNNNNNNNNNNNNNNNNNNNNNNNNNNNNNNNNNNNNNNNNNNNNNNNNNNNNNNNNNNNNNNNNNNNNNNNNNNNNNNNNNNNNNNNNNNNNNNNNNNNNNNNNNNNNNNNNNNNNNNNNNNNNNNNNNNNNNNNNNNNNNNNNNNNNNNNNNNNNNNNNNNNNNNNNNNNNNNNNNNNNNNNNNNNNNNNNNNNNNNNNNNNNNNNNNNNNNNNNNNNNNNNNNNNNNNNNNNNNNNNNNNNNNNNNNNNAUGGGAUGUCAACACAUUACGACUUGUAAGUGAAGUGAUAUAGCUUAUAUGUAAAGUGUUUGACAAUUUGAGUAGCUCAUUAUUUUGUUGUUUGUGCAGUGAAAACGAGCAAGUUAAACCUCCUGCCCUGACUCAAUUGCCCGAAGAUGACAUAUUUAAUCAGGAUCUGGCAGAUGCACAGAGUCAGGAAGAGAACAGUGAUUAUGAUAACAAUGCCGAUGAGUCCGGAGGUGACACACCCUUCCCUGAUGAGGGUGGUGAUGAGGAGAAAGAGAAUUUUGGACCUGAUUUGAUGAGGGAACAUAAUCCACCCCCCAUUAGACUAAGAGUGUACGAGUCCCAAGUGCCGUUUCAUUCAAGGGAGAUUCCCUACCUUGAUCAUUUGCCAAGUAUGCCGGAUGCGGAUGCCCUCACAAGGGAUACUGACGAAAUUCGGACAGCAAUGUGGGAUGAGUCUAGGCCAACGGUGCUGGCAAAUGGCAUGCUUUUUCUGAUAAAAUGCGCCUAAGCAGGGCGGCGAAAAUGUACAGCGUAAAAGAGUGUCGUGAGAUGACGGUAUGAGAGUCAACUCCGGAUGUAUACAAGGUUGUUUGUCGUAGAUGGUUUACGAGUUGUCAUUGGAUGUUGCGUGCGAGCAAGAAGAAAACAGGUAUGUGUUAGUUUUAUUAUUUUACAUAUUGGUUUUAUAAUUUUAUAUGUUUGUUUGUAAAUUAAAUAAUUAAUUUUUAUAAUUAUAUAAGAUUUAAUUAUUAAAUAUUCACAUAUGGGUUUCAGGCUCGAUAUUUGAGGCCCAGUAGCACCAAGAUAUCCAGAAAAAUAUUGUUGUUUUCUCAUUUAUUUUCUUACUAUCGUUGACUAGAAUUGAACAGAGUUUGUAUUUGAUCUAUCAACUAUUUUGACAUAUUUUUGAGUAUAAGAGAUAUUUAAAUGAUUAAUUUCAAUAACUACAGGGAUACUACGCUAAAAGGCACUAUAUUUUACUAUGCUAAAGGGGCACUAUAUCACUAGUCUUUAAGCAAAUAAAUAAUCUAAAUGAGAUAAAAAUAAAAAAUAUAUUUAAUCACAAAACAUUCACGAAAAUACAUAUAUAACAGUAAAAAGUAACUUAUCAACAUUUUUUGGAACAAAUAAUAAUGAUAUCUCAAUUUUUACAUAUUUUUUAGCACACUAAUAUCUUAGUCCGGAUAAAAAUAACAUAUCAGUUUAAUCGCAAAAAAAAUACAAAACAACAUAGAACACAUUUAAAAUAAUUAAUAUGCAUUUUUUAUACGAGUUUCAACAAAAACUAAAUCGGAAUACCUCUGAUUUAUGUUUUUUGGAAAGUUGAAGAUUUGAAUCCGAAACGAGCAACCCACAACGAGAGAAGGCUUAGCUAGGAUGUGGGAUCAAUAAUCUUUACUUUUUGUGGGACGGGUGGGGUCCACUCGAGUUUUUUUGGGUCGUUAAUGGGGUGUUCGCUGGUUUGAUUUUAAAAAUGGUAGGGGGGUGGGGGUUGUUUUGGUUCUGUAACGGGGGAAAGGGAAGGGACGGAUAUUUGAAGGGGUAUAGCAUUGUUUAUUAAGGCGAUAUACAUAUAGCGCCUUAAUAAACUGCACUAUACAUGGCAGUCUAAUCAACUUCAUGUAUAGCGCCCUUUAAAAGGGCGCUAUAUAUAGUUUGGUCACAUUAUUAUUUUUUCACUCAUUUCGGUCAUUUGAGUCUAAAAAGAUCAUAUUUAGGUUCCGGACUCCGAUUAGUAUUUGUCCAAGUGCUUUUAACCCAACGAAACCUCAACUUGUAGCUAUAGCGUCAUUAAUCCAAACCUAGCUAGGGAACAAAGGAGGUAAUGGUACCAUCAUCGAAACGCACAUAUGCACUGUUCGUCUUCAUUCAAUUGCAUCUCCAAAUUUGACGGUAAACAAGAAAUAACAUGAUGACUCCAAAGUACAAGAGUAGAUUCAUUAUAAAGAGUAGGUACCAAUGAAUAGGUUCAAAGAAAUUCUUCUCAUAUAAUAUAUGUUCAGAGGGAACAGCAUACCAUCACUACUAAAGUUAAAUAGGCUUAUGACCAGUUAAUAGCUUUGAACCGCUGCAUGAUUAAUUAGAUUACAGCAUGAUGAUGAAUCAGAACAUGAUUUCUUAGAAACUGAUAGGAUUACCACACUGAGUUUCACAUCUUUACGAGCUUGUGAAUUCGUCCAGUGGAAAUGCAAUUUGUUUACGUCUCUAUAUCUCACAAUUGACGUUACAUUUUGCAACAUUAUUUGGAGGUUUGAAGAAUGACGUUGGCUGUUGAGAAAGUUGUUAUUAUUAUCAUUGUCCAUGGACUGAUUCCAAGGUUCCAACUCAGACAUACAAUAAUUUAUCAGAAAAUGCUGCAAUAAAAGUAGCAGCAUAUGAGUGAAUAGCAUUCCAUAAUAUACUUACUUUACUUAUUAGUAUAUUGUAUACUGCACAACACCCAUUUGUUUGUUUAAAGGGAUCUUGACCAACGAGGACUAAUAUCUAUUUCUUAUUGAACAUUGAUAUACCUGUUCAUAAAAACAAGGGUUCAAAUUUAAGGAUUACGUAGAAGACAUUGUUAACCACAUAAUUCAAAAUGAAAAAACGCUAGAAAAAUUUGUUUGAGAAAAAUUUGAAAAAUUCUUUAGCUCUUCAGAUAGCGAGUAAAUGGGUCAAAAUUAUUUGGACAACAGAGUAGUGUACCCCAAUCAAGAAUUAUGUCGACACAGAUGAAAAUGAAAUACUGGCAUAAAGGCAACUCUCAGCUUAGAAAGUAUGAGAAAAUAUGCAUGCAAACAUUGUGUACGGGUAAAAUCGGGGAUAAAAGUUACCCCCGAUUUCCCGAUGAAGAAACGAAAAACAACGUGAUUCGACGCUGGCUCGAGUAAGGCCGAGGGUGACCGCAGAUCGGAGCCUAGGGGUGGAUGAAUGAUAUGUCAGGGAUCGAGCAUGGACAAACAUGGGAAGAAUCAAGCUCGAGCGAAAUGAAGGAUCGAGUGUAGAGGAAAAUGGUUAAAGAGGACCAAUGAGGAGCCGAAAUAUCCGUCAUCAACCGGAUAUUACGGCACGAAUCACGCCUGAUAUUAACUGCGGAUCAUGUUUUCUUGGGAUAAAAGGAAGGAAAGAAAUUUUACCUUAUUUAAACUUGUAUUAGGGUUAAACCUCCUCUUCAAGUUGUUCAUUCAUUCAGUUGCAACCGAGCUCCAUUCCGAGGGCUCGAUUGGAAUCGGUCUUUAGCAUUCAAAUCUAAUGUCAUGCUUGAUUAUUUCGGCACAUUUGGUUUGAUCGUUUUGUUUUACUUUAAUUCAAUAACUUGUUGUUCUUUGACCAUUCGUAUUAAAUCGAAAUCACGUGUCCUUUAAACCGCGUACAAAUUUAAUUGUUAUCUAUUUUAAGGGUAAAGAGUUUGGCGCCCACUGUAGGGCUAAGGAUAAUAGUGGUGAUUUAAUACGAAUCUUUAUACCACACUCCAUUUUACACUUGCUCUUUGAAUUUUGAUUUCAAGAUUAUUCAAUAUGUCAAAUUCACAAUCUGCUCACUUGAGUGUUGACGCCGAGUCGAGGCCACCACAGUGAAAAUAAUAAUGUGGUGCCAAGCAACGACGUAUCCCUUGUCGACCCUAAUGGCGUUCCAAUCGUUGACUCAGUCGAUGCCAAUUCACAGGUUGCUAUCAACAUCAACCUACCGACUGACCUGAUAAUAGCAUUCACAGGACACCCCGUCCAUCCGCUCGCGAGACAGCCGAAGGGGGAGGUGACGAAGUCAGCUUAUGUUUGAUUUUUGAGAUGUUACAAGCUCACCAAGUUGCAAUAACACAAUUGCAGAGUCAAAAUCACGCACACAACGCGGCCGAACCCGAACGGGUUUUAGAGGAUACUCGGAGAGAAGAACAGAUUUUCACAUAACUCGACGGGACCGGACCCGGGGAAACUUCCGAGGUGAUGAAAAUUCUCGAAGCGCUGACAGAACGAGUGGAAUCGAGCGAAAAAUAAAUAGAGGCAAAUGACAAUAAGAUGGAAACUUACAAUUCGAGGGUCGAUCGGAUCCCGGAAGUACCCCCGAUAUUUAAGGGACCAAAAAGUUCAUUCAGCAACCUUUGCCCCCGAGUGCGGCACCAAAGCCAAUUCUGAAAAGGCUCCGCAUGCCCGAUAUUCCCAAAUACAAUGGGACCACAAAUCCAAACGAGCAUGUGACCUCCUACACGUGUGCAAUAAAAGUCAACGACCUCGAGGAUGACGAGAUCGAGUCGGUGUUGCUGAUGAAAUUUGGGGAAACCUUAUCCAAGGGAGUAAUGAUAUGGUACAAUAACUUACCUCCAAAUUCUAUUGAUUCGUUUGAUAUGCUUGCAGAUGCCUUGGUUAAAUCCCAUGCCAGCUAUAUCAAAGUUUAGACGAGGAAAUUAGACAUGUUAAAAGUCAAGCAAAGGGAUAACGAGAUGCUUAGGGUAUUCGUGUUGAGAUUCCAUAUGGAACGGAUGUACCUACCCCCAGUUGUAGACGAUUAGGCCGUUCAAGCAUUCACUCAGGGACUCAACCCUCGAAGUUCGGUUGCGUCUCAAUAAUUGAAGCAAAACUUGGUAGAGUACCCAGCGGUUACCUGGGCCGAUGUCCAUAAUAGGUACAAGUCAAAGAUCAGAGUCGAGGACGAUCAACUAGGGGCUCCAUCGAGGUCGGUUUAUCCUAAUAGGGCAAACAACAAGCCUAAAAGAAUAGUGGAUCAGGAGUCGAGGCCACUUUGAGAUCGAUACCAGCCUUACAACUCAGAUAGAAGGGGAAACAGACCCAAUAGCCAUCCGACCAGGAACGAUAGAGAAAUGAUCAGGGUCCAAGCAAUAGAGGGUUAGCGAAUGGAAACGGUUUUGACAGAUCACCCGGGGUCAGAGAUUCCCCGAGGCUAUCGGAAUAUAACUUCAACGUGGAUACAGCGAGUAGUGUCAGCCAUCGGUUGCAUCAAGGACACCAAGUGGCCAAGGACACCCCAGUCCGAUCCUGCACAGGGGGAUCACGAUUUGAUACGUAAAUAUCACAGUACUCACGAGCACAAAACCGAGGAUUGUUGACAGUUAAGGGAAGAAGCUGCUCGUUGGUUCAACAAUGGGCAUCUUUAGAAAUUCCUAAAUGAGCGGGCCGAAAACCUUUUCAAAAACGGGGAUGCCAGCAAGAAAAUCGAGCAUGAAGAACAUCAACAUGUGAUUAACAUGAUUAUUGGAGGGGUAGAUAUUCCACAAAUGCCAAUGAUAAAACGCGCUAAAGUAUCUAUCACAAGAGAAAAAUGAACUCGAGAUUAUGUCCCGGAGGGAGCAAUCUCGUUUAGUGACGAGGACGUUGAGGGCAUUAUUCAACCUCACAAUGAUGCACUGGUAAUAUAUGUGCUUAUUAAUAAAUCUCGAGUUAAGAGUGUAUUAAAUGAUCCAGGUUGUUUGGCCAACAUCAUUUAAUAGAUAGUCGUGGAACAACUAGGGCUAUUGGAUCAGAUCAUACCAGCGGUUUGAGUAUUAAACGGGUUUAGUAUGGCAUGUGAGACAACGAAAGGUGAAAUCGCCCUACCGGUCAACACAGUCGGAACCACCCAGGAGAUGAAGUUCUAUAUAAUCGAAGGUGAUAUGAGGUACAACGCCUUGUUCGAGAGACCAUGGGUCCACUACAUGAGGGCGGUACCGUCGACCUUUCAUCGAACGUUAAAAUAUUUUACUCCUGGUGGAAUCAAAAUGGUCUACGGGGAACAACCGGCCGCAAAAGAGAUAUUCUUGUCGAGGAAGAGAUCCCGGUACUGGCGAUCACGACAUCAAAAGGUAAGGGACUGAUCACCAAAUAGAAAUUACAUGUCUCGACCCCAACCGAGCCAGAAAAAUAAGAGGAACGUCUAACGGAUGAGGAAGAUGACUUCGGGGUCCCGAGAUCCUUUGUAACACCUGAUGACACCGAUGCCACCAAGUCAACGAUCGAGGAACUAGAAUAGAUCAUAUUGUUUAAGCACCUGCCAGGCAGAAAGGUAUACCUGGGCACGGGGUUAACCCUCGAGCUCAGGAAAAAACUCAUUGAUUUUCUGAAAGCUAAUGCUGAUUGUUUAGCCUGGUUCGACUUAGACAUGAUAGGAAUCCCACCGGAGAUAACUACUCAAAAUUGAGCUUGGAUCCAAACUUCCACCCAGUCAAACAGAAGAGGAGGCCAUAGUCCAAAGUCAAGCACUCAUUCAUCAAAGAUGAGGUAUCUAAACUCUUAAAAAAUAGGUUCCAUGUGGGAAGUCCAACACCCGGAGUGGAUAGCUAACGUAGUCCUCGUACAUAAAAAGGGAAAAAACUUAGAAUGUGUGUAUAUUAUAAGGACUUGAAUAAGGCAUGCCCAAAGGACUCGUUUCCUUUGCCUAAGAUCGACCGAAUGAUCGAUGCGACGGCAGGGCACGAGACGCUGAGCUUUCUCGACACCUAUUCUGGGUACAACCAAAUACGGAUGGACCCAGGUGACCAACAAAAAACUUCUUUCAUUACUAAGUUCGGCACUUAUUGUUAUAACGUGAUGCCAUUUGGGUUAAAAAAUGCUAGUGCCACAUAUCAACGCCCUAGUUAACAGAAUGUUCGAGGAACAAAUAGGGAAAUCAAUAGAGGUUUAUAUUGAUGAUAUAUUAGUUCAUACCCUUCGGAGUCGGCUCAGGCAAGUUCCUCAAUUUCAUAGUAUCUAGCCGAGGAAUAGAGAUCAACCAUUUUUUUCUUGAAAAAGGGCUUCGACACGUGACAACUCCUUUUUAGAAUGGGAGAUAGAGUGCUAAAGGAGAAGAGUCGCUACCAAACGAUUUUUAAAGGUGCGUUAGGGCAUCUAUUAUGCAAAUAACUUUGUUUGACAAGUCAACACAACCAAAGAUCGGGUAAGGGCUCAAGUUACCUCAAAGAGAAGGUGUUAGGCACUCCUCGAGGUCCACAACUUUGGGUCCCGGCCGAACUUAAGAUUAUGUGGAUUAUGAUUAAGCUAGGUGAUCAAAUAAACAAAGGGAGUUCAGAAGUCACAGAACUUUAUUACAACAUGAUUAAUACAGAUCUUAGUGCGAACAUGGAGAUACAACUAUUUAGAUCUAAUAACAACAUAUAAAGAAAGAAAGGGGGGUCCUACGUUUUCUAGCCUAAAGGAUCACCCCGUGCAACAUUAAUAAUACUUUGUAACUCCCUCAAGAAUGGGGUGUUACUCAUAUUAUUCAGCGGGCACAGACUAUCAUCUCCUGCUACCCGAUUACUAUGUUAAAGUUGUUACCUAAAGCGCAUUAAUUCAAUUAUAAGUUGUACCUGAUGCAUCCACUACCCGUCCCAUACCUAUGGUCCAUGAGGUAUUGGACCUCUAUUUUGGGAGGUUGUAGACCUCACUUAGGCUGAUGAGAAAUGUUAAAACUAAGCAACAUACAAAAAACACAUUGGACUUCAAAUAUGGCAAGUUUGCCUCCACACUUAAACAACAAAUGUACGCGAAACAGGUUUUUCAUGUUAGGCAAUUCACAAUUAAGGAACUUAACUCCCUAUAGGCAUGAUUUCUAGGUGACGGACAUCAAGGCACGCAAGCAGAUUCGGGAACCAAUGAGAUUCAUAGAUAGGAUUGCAUAGGUUAUCACACAUUAGUUAUUGAGAAGGCAAAUUCCUCAAUUACUAGCCAUAUAAUUGUUGCGCCUAGGUGAGUUAUGUGAUAGAGGGAAUGGAAAUUCAGAAUUACUCAUACACUUGAUAAUGGCCUAAGUGAGUGAUGAACAGUGUUUAAAGGGCAUCAUUACCAGUUAUUAAGGCGAGUAGUGGCGUCCUAUAGGCAGGAUUUCUAACGAUUAACAAUUGAGGAGUCUGAUUUUAUUGUUAGACCUUAUAGGCAGAUUUCUCUAGGUGAAAUAUGCAAUACCAUAACAAAUGAUAUGAUUAGAGUCCUAUAGGCACGAUCUCUAGUAAUGCGAAUUACCAGGAAAUUCAACAAUAUUUCCUACGGGCAGGUUCUCUAAUCAACAUAUAGCUACAAAGAUAUUGAGACAUUUGAGUUCAGGCUUUACUAAUAAACAAGUAGUGCAAGUGUGUGUGUUUCCUUAAUGGCAUGCUUUCUACAAUGUACAUAGAGAAUGAACAACAUAAGGCAAGGCAUCAUUCAAUCCUAUAGACAUGUUUUAUACCCAUCAUACGUUAAUAUUAAAAUCUACCCCAUCCCCUUUUACUAACACCCCAAUCGCUUAUACAAAGUUUAUUAUUACAGACCCAAAUUAAUAAUAAAGUAGUAAUAUUACAUAGAAAUAGACAGGCCUAUAGGAGGCCCGAAUAGAAUAACUAAAUACUUAGCCUUACUGGGCCUUCAAAACUUCUGGCAUAGCAGACUUAGACCUUCAACGAAGAACCACACAAUUGCAGGUCCAUAGGGGAGUUCAGACCCCUUUCAAUGAGCCAUAACACCAAAUAUUGCAUCACUUGGAGCAACCAACAUAGAAUAUAGAAUAUGAUAGGGAAGUAGAGCAUUAGGGAUAGUUUGGAGGUUAAGAGGAGUGACUAGGGCCGAGCCCCUAGUGUGUCAGAGUUCACAAGGGCCUCAAUUGGACCCUGAGCAGUGCUCUCACUAGGGAAGCCAACAGAGAACCUAGGUAGCCUUGGCUUUCAGCCGGCUAAGAAUAGGAAUUCAGAAUACCAAAGCAACAAGUAAAGAGAAUGGACAGAAAUUCCCAGAGUGAUCAUACAGCAUAACUGGUCAAGUAGACCAGCAAAAUUCAGUAGCAAAGCAUCACAUAGACAAACAUCAUAGGUAAAGGAAAAUAAGUUUACAGACAUACCUAGAUUGCACUAGUUGACAUUUAAGGGCUUAAAUUAAGUCAAGUCUAACCUAAGGCCAUAUCAAUACAUGGACAUAAUGGAGGUAUACAAAUAUUGAUUAUCACAGAAUGGAGAAAGUAGCAAGUGAACCAAGGCAUACUGAAAAAGCAUGUUAACCUAAGAACAAGGUCCUAGUUAGUUGAAAUAGAAUAUUUGCCUUUAGAAAAUCAGGGUAGCAAGACACAAGUUUAAAACAGAUUUUUGGGCAGUAUUACAAAAAGUACUCCAACAUACACAAGACUUUGUAAAAGUUUAUUCAAGUAAAAGUUAGGGCAUUAUCUAAAUACAAUAGGCAGAAACAAUAUACAACUACAAUAUUGAAGUUCAAAAUUAACAUGUAAAGAUGUUACAGGGUGCAGAACUAGUCUUAGGAGAUAGGGAAUUGCAAAGUGCAAAGCAUAGUGAGUCAUGACAUGAACAGUACAUUACUCCCAUGCACCAAUUAACACAGAAUGACAUCAAGUUGAACACCAUCAUAGUUGAACCAAAAUUCAGAUACAUGUGCAGAAAGAAGGGAAGAAAGCAAACAUUAUGAGAAUUUAAACACUAACCAGUAGCAGAAUUAAAAGAGUGCAGAGUGUAAUAGAAAAAACCCCAAAAUCCCCGAUGCUUUAGAGUUCGCAAGAGACUCGAAAAUGAGCUCCGGGCAGUGCUUGCACCAGAGGAGGUUAUUCAAUAAUUUCAGAGUGUUUUAAGGUAACAGUGAAUGAGUGAGAGAGUAGUGAAAACCAGUAGCCGAAAUUAGGGUUCAGAAAUUUCUCCCCUAAGGGGUUUCAUGAGAGGGGUUUACAUAGUGUAGAAAUCAACCAAGUAAACAUGGAAAACAAAUUAUUCAAACACAAAUAAGGAAAGAUAUACUAGAAUCGAUUUUUUAGGGCGUGAACAAAAGGGUUCAGUAAAUCAAUAGGGAAUAACAAUUAUCACGCAAAUAAUACUAAAAAUAAAGGAAUAUAGAAGAUUAAACAGAGAAUAAGGAAAAUAUCAUACCAAAAAUCAUUUAAAGUCAGAUUUAGGGCAAAAUAAAGUAGAAAAUAGGGAAACAUGGCAGAUUAAACAGAAAUAAGGAAAAGAAUAGUCAAACUCAGAAAAGGAAAAGUAUCAGUCAAGAAUAAGUAAGGAACAGGGAAAAAAUUCAAAACCUAGUUCGAAAAGAAGCAUAGAUAGUCGAAGAUCUCGCUGAAUCGGACCAUAUAGAGUGCAUAUAGACGAAAUAUCGUCUAAAUCUCAUAGAUUGAAGGCGGUGGAAUCCCGUUUGGGUACUGGUACUGCCAAAAUUGGGGAAUGUACCAUAUAAUGUCAUAAUCUUAUAGACAAUAAUGAGGUAACACAUAAAAGGUAAGUAGAUCACAGAGGGAGUCCAUGAUUUACUCGGAUUUGCAGAAGAUAGGGGGAGGCGGAUAGGGUUUCUGAAGGAGGGAGAAGGGAGGUGGGAGGAUACAGAGGCGGCAGGCAAAGGUUUAAUGGGGGUUAGGGUUAGGAGUUAGGUUAGUUAAAGGGAGGGUUUAAUUGUGGGUCGUUGAUCUUGAGAGAUCAACGGCCAGGAUUAAAAGAAAGCUGGGGUGGGUCGUGUAAAGCGGGUACCGACCGGGUUGGGGUUAGUGGGUUAUUAGUAUUGGGCUUGGGGUAAUUAGGCUAAGGUUUGGGGUAAUUGGGCUGAGGUCUGGGUAGUUUUAGAUCCGAAAAUUGGCAUGUUUUGGGCCAGCUAUUAAAUACACAAUAAUUAUUUUAAAAAUAAUUUAUAAAAUAACUAAAAGAUAAUAAAAUGCUACUUGUACAAUAUAAUGACUUAAAAUAAUAACUAAAUAUUAUAAAAAUAUAAAAAUGAUACUUCGGCAUAAAUAACAUAAUAAACGCAAUUAUUUGUAGAACAUAGGCCAUUAUUGCAAAAUUAGAUAAAUAGCUUACAAAUGCUAAUGUAAUUAUAAAAAAUAGAAUAGAAAUGUUUGAAACAUGUAUUAUGGAUGAAAAUAAUAAUUUUGGAUAAUUAAGUCAUCACAAACUAAUUUAAAGGAUAAUUAUUAGAUAUUUAUAUAAUAAAAAUAUAAGAAAAUUAAUUUAAAGCUCUAACAAUUAUGGAAAAUUGUGGGGAAAUGCUUGUGUAGGUUUGUAAACUAAAUGAUGAUGCAAAUAUGCUAUUUUGAAAGAAUAUAUGUAUUUUUAAAAAUAUGAGGGAAAAAUUGGGUAUCAACAUGCUAUAGAAGAUAUCAUCGUGGUUGACAACAUCAACGCAUGCAGAGGCUGACCGGGCGGAUAACCGCAUUGGGCCGAUUUAUUUAUAGGUCAUCAGAUAAAAUCCACCAAUUUUUCUCCUUACUAAAGAAAAAAACGACUUCUCUUGGACCCCGGAGUGCCAAAAGGCUUUAGAAGAACUCAAACAAUACUUAUCAAGUCCUCUUUUGCUGCACACCCCAAAGGCGAACGAGCCGUUGUACCUUUACUUGGUAGCCUCCGAGGUAGCAGUAAGUGGUGUCCUAGUUCGGAAAGAAGAAGGUACUUAGUUUCCUAUCUAUUAUAUUAGUAGAACCAUAUGUGAUGCCAAAAUGAUGUAUCCACAUCUAGAGAAAUUAGCGCUUGCCUUGUUAAGCGCAUCUAGGAAACUAAAACCAUACUUUUAAUGUCACCCUAUAUGUAUCGUGACCUCGUAUCCGCUAAGGAAUGUCAUGCAUAAACCCGAGCUCUCAGGCCGGCUAGAAAAAUGGUCUGUAGAGGUUAGCGGGUACGAUAUUGAAUACAAACCCCGAAUAGCUAUAAAGUCUCAAAAUUUGCGGCCAAUUUCACACCGACCUUGAUCCCAGAGGUCGAUAAAGAAUUAUUACUUGCCUCGGGGACUAGCUCGGGGGUCUGGACCCUAUUCACGGAUGGUUCUUCCAACGCGAAAGGGAAUGGGUUGGGAAUUGACUAACAAUGAAGCCAAAUAUGAGGCUAUGAUUGUAGGUCUACAACUGUCUAAAAUCCUGGGGGCUGAGGUGAUCGAAGCCAAGUGCGACUCUCUCCUCGUUGUUAACCAAGUCAACGGAAUGUUUGAAGUCAAAGAAGACGUGCGGAGAUACUUAGAUAAAUUACAAGUGGGGUUACAUCAGUUUAGCGAAUAGACAUUACAACAUGUGCCCCGAGAUCAAAAUAGCGAGGUUGAUGCUUUGGCUAACUUAGGAUCGUCAGUUGACUCCGAUGAAUUUAACUCUGAAUGUUGGUGCAAUUGAUGAGCUCAGUGAUAGGGGAAGGUCAUGCCGAGGUAAACUCAACGAGUUUGACAUGGGAUUGGAGAAACAAAUAUAUAGACUACCUUCAGAAGGGGAAACUGCCAUCAUAUCCUAAAGAAUCAAGGGCCCUUAGAACUAAAGCAGCCACGUUCAGCUAAGUUGGGGGCCAACUAUACCGAAGGUCAUUUUUCGGACCGUAAGCAAGAUGCUUGGUGACCAAGGAGACCGAUUACGUGAUGCGGGAAGUCCACGAGUGUACUUGUGGAAACCAUCCGGGAGCGGAAUCAUUGGUUCAGAAAUUGAUCAGGGCUGGAUAUUACUGGAACGAAAUGGACAAAGAUGCGAAGGACUUUGUUAAAAAAUGUAACAAAUGUCAAAGGCAUGCCCCGUUGAUCUACCACCCAGGGGAGAUGCUUCACUCGGUCCUUUCCCCUUGGUCAUUCAUGAAGUGGGGGGUGGACAUCGUAGUCCCUUUACCAUGGGCACCCAGAAAAGCGCAGUACAUUUUGCUCAUGACAUAUUACUUCUCCAAGUGGGUUGAAGCUCAAGCGUUUGAGAGAGUUAGAGAAAAAGAAGUUAUCGACUUCAUCUGGGAUCAUAUAAUAUGCUGGUUCGGGAUAUCAACCGAGAUUACGUGUCACAACGGGAGACAAUUCAUCGGCAACAAGGUCAAUAAGUUCUUCGAAGAUCACAUAAUCAAAAAGAUUUUAUCGACCCUUUAUCACUUGAGUGCGAACGGUCAAGCGGAGUCAACAAACAAAACUAUACUGCAAAACCUGAAGAAAGGUUUGACCGACUCAAAAUGAAAGUGGAAAGAAAUUUUGCCCGACGUCCUUUGGGCAUACCGAACAACUUUGAGGUCAAGUACGGUGAAACACUGUUAUCCCUAGUCUACGGCGCAUAGGCUUUGAUUCCGGUAGAAGUGGAAGAAUCGAGCUUAAUAUUUCGAUAUGCUAUGGAGGCAUCAACGACGAGGCCAUGGCCACAAGCCUAAAUUUAGCAGACUGUCACGACCCAAAAUCCCACCACAUGCAUCGUGAUGGCACUUAGUCUCUAAGACUAAGUAAGCCGAUCAUAAUAACAAUUCAAGCCAUUAUUUUUUGAAUUCAAUACAUUUUUUUCAAAACCAAUAGCGAAAAUAUUUAAACAACCUCCCAAGACUGGUAAUACUGAGUUACGAACUCUAACUGAAUAUAUGAAAUGAUCUCAAGGAUCGAAUAUACAAUACUGUUCGAAUAAUAAUUGAUAGUACAACAAAAUGGAAAGACUCUAAGGGACAGCGACGACCAAGCAGCUCUACCUUGAAUCCUUGCGAUCAACACACUAACUCUGCUCGAGUCCAAUAUCUCCAGUACCUGGCUCUGAACAAAAAUGUGCAGAAGUGUAGUAUGAGUACACCACGGUCAGUACUCAGUAAGUAUCAAGACUAACCUCUGUGGAGUAGUGAUGAGAUACAGUCAAGACACUCACUGGUCUAAUAACCUGUGCAAUAUAGCAUACAAAAUAACGGGGAAAAAUAGCAAUGAUGGCAACAAGAAUCAAUCAAGGAUAUAAAAAAUAAGGCCACAAGAACACCAUAAAUAUUGUUCAAACGAAUAAUGAACACAAGUACAACCAAGUAAUCAAGUCCUUCAAAUACAAAUCAUUCAUCUAUAAGUUUUUCAAAUAAAAAUCUUUAGAAUAUAAUCCUUUCAAAUUAAUAUAUUUUGAAUAUACUCCCUUCAAAUAAAUAUAUUUCGAAUAUAAUUCUUUCAAAUAAAUUUCCUUCAAUAUAAUUCUUUCAAAUAAUAUUUUUGAAUAUAAUUCUUUCAAAUAAAAGUCACCCUGUGACACCUCAUUUCAUAAUCAUAAAAAUACGGGUCUCAGCCCACUUUCAGAUUUUCGUAAUACGGGUCUCACCCACUUUCAUAUUUCUACGUCACCUCGUGCCCAUAUUUUAAUCACAUAUGCACGGGCAACUCACGUGCCAAAAUAUCAAUAUAUAAGAUCCGCACGAAUAACUCACGUGCCAAUAAUAAAACCAUCAUUUACUCGCGGAAACUCAUGCCUACAUCUCAUUUCACAACUGCACAGAUAACUCACAUGCCAAUAUCAUAAUCAUUAUAUAUCACGGGACCUCGUGCCCACAUUUCAUAUCACAACCGCACGGACAACUCACGUGCCAAUAACAUAAUCCACCCGGCAAUAGCCACAUGCUCACAAUUUCAAUAUGUAUUAGACUGUUAUCAAAUUUACUGAAUUAACAAAACACGUUGCACAAGAUAUAAAAGAAAUCACAAGGAAAUCACAACAUUACAUAAAAAUCACCAACACAAUAAUCCCACAACACCAUAGAUCAUCCCUGACAAUAGCCACAUUUAUCUCUCCUAUAGUCACCCGUAUCACUCCAUAUAAUAGCCAUCAUUAUCGCUCCUAUAACCACCCUUAUCACUCCAAUAAUAGCCUCAUUUGUCGAUCCGUUUAAUAGCCUCCCUUAUCGCUCUGUUUAAUAGCCUCCCUUAUCGCUCCUUUUAAUAGCCUCCCUUAUCACUCCGCCUAGACAAUAUCUCAACACACAUAACAACAAUGAAAUGUCACCCUUAUACCUGCAUAAUAUUAACAAUGGAAUGCCACCCUUAUAUGUCGUACAACAGUAACCCAAAUCACACAAUAAUUUACACAAAAGAUUAUCACAACAACACCACAUAAUCAACUCGUAAUUACAAAUUGCCCGUAGGCCACAACCUUUCCAAAAGUACAAUAAAAUUAAUUAAUUUCACAGCAAAUAACCCAAGGCUCCACACAACAUAUAUAAAACCUCAAAAACAAUAACAAGGAUGGAAUAAUAGCUCAGCACAGGACAACGCCUUCUUUAAUCCAAAUUUCAGAUAAAUAUACAAAUGCCUCUUUUUUAAGUAAUUAUUUCUAGGAAAUUUCAACUCAACAAAUACAUGGGAUUCACAUAAAAAUCGAAGUGGUAAUCACACCAAAUUAUCAUAUAAAAACAUAUUCGACAAACAAGGAUUUGAGGUAUGGCAAAUAGAGGAUUUAAUAAAUGCCAACAAUUAUCCAAUUUAAUACAUAAAAAAUGCCUAAGACUUUAAACCAAUAAAUUUUGUACAUAUAAGCCCAAGUACGUACUCGUCACCUCGCGUACACGGCUUUUAACCACACAAUUUCCACAAAAGACUCAAUGCCUAAGGGGUAAUUCAUCCACUCAAGGUUAGGCAAGACACUUACCUUUUUGAAGUUAGGCCGAUAUUCCAGAAUAGCCUUCUUGCUUGAAUUGACCUCCGGACAGCUCAAAUCUAUCCAAGUUAGUUGUAUAACUUCAUUAAAAUUCAUCUGAAAUAAUUCCGAAUAAUAUAACGUCGACUUAAAAUUUCGCAUUAAAAAGUCAACCGAAAGUCAAUACGGGGCUUGCCUNNNNNNNNNNNNNNNNNNNNNNNNNUUUCUGCUUUUUUUGAAAGAUGUUGCAAAAACCCAAAUUUCUUCUAUUUAAAUCCGAAUUAAAUGAUGAAUAUAACUAUGUAUUUAUGAAAUAUAAUAAAUUUCGAAUAUAGGACACUUACCCAAGUUGAAGUCUUGAAGAAAUCCUCAAAAUUGCCCAAGAACCGUGCUCCAAAAAUCCAAAACGAAAUGAAGGAAAUGACCAUUUUUAGUCCUUAAGUUUCUGCCCAAUAAAAACACUAAUUUGGUCGCUAAAAAUCCAAUUCUCGUCGUUAAAAGUGCCAAAUCCGGUCGCUAAAGGUGCGCACCAAAUUUGUUUACACCAGCAAUUCAUUCCUAUAAUUCAUUAUCAAACUCCCGGAAGUCUCGAAAUCGAAUUUCGAUCUCUAGAACUAAAAAUGGACCGUUGGAUCAUUACAUGCUUAUGCUCCAAACAAUGACAAAACACCAUACACGUUAAAAACCCAUCCAAAACUCAUCUGAGCCUCAUGGGACCCCAACCAGGUAUACUAACAAGUUCCAAAAUACAAUACAAAAUUAGUCGAGGCUUCAAACCACGUCAAACAACGUCAAAAUUAUGAAUCAUGCCUCGAAUCGAAUUAUGAGUUUUUAAAUCUUCCAACUUCUAUAAUUUAUGCCAAAACGUAUCAUAUCAAUCCAGAAUGACUUCAAAUUUUGCACACGAGUUAUAAAUGACAUAAUGGACCUUUCCAAUUUCUGGAAUCAAAUUUUCCAACUUUUGCCAAAAUGCGAAAUCACCUACUAACUUCCAAAUCCAAUUCUGGACAUACGCCUAAGUCCGAAAUCACCAUACGAAGCUAUUAGAAUCAUCAAAAUUCCAUUUCGGAGUCGUUUUCUCAAAAGUCAAAACUCCGGUCAACUCUUUUCAUUUAAGCUUCAAAAGUAAGAAUUGCUCUUUCAUUUUAAUUCCGAAUUUUCCGAAAACCAAACUCAACCGCACAUGCAAGUCAUAAUACAUAUUACGAAGCUGCUCGGUGCCUUAAACCGUUGAACGGGAUGCCAAUUCACAAACGACAAGUCGGGUCAUUACACAGAUGAAAGGCGAGAAAUCGCCCUAGUCCGGUUAGUACCUUAAAAGCAGUGAAUGGAAAGUUAUUACAACCGAAUAGCAAACCUUCAACACUUCCAAGUCGGGGACUUGGUAUUGAAGAAAGUCAUACUGCAUAUCAAAAACACGAAUGACGGGAAACUAGGUCCAAACUACGAGGGACCGUACAGAGUCACUGGCAUAACUGGGAAAGGCUCGUACCAGCUUGAGUCCGGAAAUGGUGUACAACUCCCAAACAACUAGAAUGUGGCACACAUAAAGCGGUACUACUGCUAAGGUAUGAAUACAUGAAUUUCUUUAAGGUUUAUUACGCUUUGGACUAACCCAUAUAGGUACUCAAUCGAAGUCAAGUCCAAGGAUUAGGUCUGAAAGUACGUGUUGCACUCUUUUUUCCUUCGAACAAUUUUUCCCGAAGUGGGUUUUACAGCAAGGUUUUUAACGAGGAAACAGUAAGCGUGCUACUCUAAUUUUGGAGACCGGCCUAAAACCGGGGACUGCGGAUUACCUGUAUUGGAUUAAUAGUACUCGAGCCCUCUAAAUUCAGCCUCAAGUACUAGGGGACUAUCUCACCCUGAGUCAAGAACCGAAGAUCUAAGAUCGGAAUUUGGAAGGCAAUUUUAUUCGAUAUCGAAAGCCAAAGCUUGAAUAAUAGGAUUUAUUGUAAGGGACAUAUGGUCAAAGGAACCAUGCCCACAUAGCUCGUUCUAGCCAUGGCGGAUAACUUCUGUAUCUUCUAUUACUUACACUACAUUUAAAGUAAUAAACUCAGAAAUUUGUCUUCUUGUUUCAUCGGUCCGCGUUCUCACGAGCAAUGCUAUCGUUACGUCACUUAGAACGAGUGUUGGGUUCAAAACCCCCUAGGCCCACGGGCCACCAUUAACCGGGGGCAUGAAACCCCAAAGGCAAUAAGAGUCCACGAAACCACUCCUAUCCACCUAAAGACCCUUAAGCUUACGAGUCACCGGAGGCACCAAGCCUAUGAGGCAGGGCCUAAAUACGAAUGGCCACGACCGACUUAAAAUACGAAGCCAUUGGAACUUUGAUAAUAAUAUAUAAGCGACUUGGAGACGUUUGAGUUCGUACACAUAAAAAGUAAGGUCCUUAAAUAUUUUAAAUCCACAAGAGAUUAUGUCUGAUCUGGUCAAGUCAAUUGGUCUCGAAUUACGGCCAUGAAAAGAGUCACAUUCGGCAAAUGUCAUGACCCAAUUCUCCCUCCGUAAGAUGUCGUGACGGAACCUAGUCUCUACGACUAGGUAAGACUAAAAAAGAUAUGGAAAUAACAAAAAAUGGAAACAAAACUCAAUAACUAACUGUAACAGAUAACUAAAUAACUGAUAACAAUGCCGCUUGGCAUUUACAACAACCAACACUCUAAUAAUACACAGUAUUCCCAAGACCCGAAACAUCAUAGGUCACAAGCUACAGGAGGAAAACUAGUAUCUCUAUACACCAGAGUCUAAUAAAAGUAGUAAGGAAGGUAAAUGGCAUAGGAGGGAAAUGGGGGGACUUCGAGGUCUACGGAUGCGGCAGAUAUACCUUGAAGUCUCCGUACAGCAGCAAGCACUCUCAGCUAGUAGCGGGGCUGAUAAGAAGUACCUGAAUCUACACAAAAACAUGUGUACAAGAGUAGCAUGAGUACACUACAACGGUACCCAGUAAGUGCCAAGCCUAACCUCGGUAGAGUAGUGACGAGGUGAGGUCAGGCCCACUGGUAUAUAAUAAUAUAAUAAGAGACUUGAAUUUGACAAAAAGAAAACACAACGAUAUAACAAUGCAACAUACAGGGAUAAACAGCAGGGGAUCUCCCGAGAUACCGUCUCAUAGUCCAAAAAUAUAUACGCAGGGAGAAUUCCCGAGGUACCGCCUCGUAGUCUCAAAAGUAAAUAUACAGGGANAACUCCCGAGGAACCGCCUCGUAGUCUCAAAAGUAAACACACAGCUCAACCGAUAAAUACCAUAGUUAACAGCAAGAAUUCUACAGUUAAGACUGAUAAAGAACAAGGAAAAAUAGAAAAUCAACUAGGCAUGUUUCACACAGUUCAGAUAAGCAAUUAAAGAACGUAGACAUGUGAUAUUAGGCUAAUCAGGAUAACUACGCAUGUUGGAAUAGCUCAAUUAAGAAUGAAAACAGACUAAUACUCAUUUAAACGGUAUAACUCAAAUUAAAGGAGAAAACAUGUUACUACUCAGUAAAAUAAAUCGGGUUUUUCAACAAAUAGCACGUGUACGUACUCGUCACCUUACGUACACGGCGCUCACAUAUCACGCCAGUACUAAAUCCUAAGAGAAUUUUCCCCACACAAGGUUAGGCAAGUCACUUACCUCGAAUCAAGCUCAAUCAAUCGGUAACAAUGCCUUUUCCCCGAACAUCUGACUCUGAAUGGCCCAAAUCUAGCCAAAAUCAAAUUCAUACCAUAAAUACAACUAUAAGAAAUUAAUCUAAUUAAUGAAAUCAAAGCUAAAGCAAGAAAUUAGAAAAUCGUCCCAAAAAGUCUCCCCGGGCCCAUGUCUCAGAAUCAGGUAAAAGUCACAAAAUACGAUUACCCAUUCACUCACAAGUCUAACCAUACAAGAACUACUCGAAUCCGGCCUCAAAUCACCUUCCAAAACUCAAAAUUGUAGUCUAUGAAGUUUCUACCGUUUUCCCCAAAUUUCCAACUCAAAUCCCUAAUUAGAUGAUGAAAAUAGCAAUAGAUUCAUGAAAUAUAGUCAAAUCCGAGUUAGAACCAUUUACCCCAACAAUCUCCUUGAAGAAAUCUCGAAAACAUCGCCUCACACCGAGCUCUCAAACUCCCAAAAUCGAAUUGGGUAAUCAACCCUCGAAUACCUCUUUUCUGCCCAGUAAACUCGCUUCUGCGAGCCUUCAACCGCGCAUGCGGUACCGCGCGUGCGGGAAAUCCAUCGCAGGUGUAAAAAUCACUAAAGGGGACUCGGACCGUAUCUGCAGCAAGGGGGCCGCACCUGCGUGUGCGCGCCUGCGGAGCACUGUCUGCUUCUGUUGUCAUUCACCGCACCUGCGGUUAGUAUAACAUAUCUGUAGGCAUCGUAGAUGCGGAAAUUCCCUCGCACCUGUGAUCCCUAGCCAUGCCUCCAAUAUCCGCUUCUGCGCUUUGUGCGCCGCACGUGCAAAAACACCAGAUGCCUGAAGACUUCAGCAACAACACCAAUCCAACUUUUGAUCCGUUAAGCACCUGAAACUCACCCGAGGCCCCCGGGACCUCAACCAAACAUACCAACCAAUCCUAAAAUAUCAUAAGAAUAUAGUCGAGCCCUCAAACCACAUCAAAUAAUGCUAAAAUCACGAAUCAUCCUCCGAUUCAAACUUAAACUUGAAACUUCCAAAUUCGACAACCGAUGCCGAAACCAACCAAACCACGUCCGAUUGACCUUAAAUUUUGCACACGUGUCAUAUUCAUCCCUAGGAACCUAUUCCAACUUCCAGAAUUGGAAUCCGACCCCGAUACCAAAAUGUCCACUACCGGUCAAAAUCUCCAAAACUUCGACUUUCACCAUUUCAAGCCUAAAUGAGCUACAGACCUCCAAAAUACUAUCCGGACACGCCCCUAAGUCCAAAAUCACCUAACGGAGCUAACAGAACCAAUGGAACUCCAUUCCAAAGUCAUCUUCACAUAGUUCCGAUUACGGUCCAAAUCCUAAGGCUUAAACCUCCAUUUGGGGACUAAGUAUCCCAAAACACUCCAAAAACCAAAACGAAACCACUCGGCAAGUCACAAUAGCAGAAAACAAUAUGGGAGAAGUAGUUAAUAGGGGAUCGGGGCUAUAACUCUCAAAACGACCGGCCAGGUUAACAACAACAACAACAACAACCCAGUAAAAUCCCACUAAUGGGAUCUGGAGAGGGUAGUGUGUACGCAGACUUUACCCCUACCCCUAAGGAGUAGAGAGGCUGAUCCGAAAGACUCUCGGCUCAAAACGACCGGCCAGGUUGUUACAGCAAAAAUUAGUUGUGUCAGAAUUAAUCAUUCCAAUAUUUUAAUAAAGACUUCAUUUUAUUUUAUAACGAAUGUCCGAAGUUAAAGCAACUCGGGGUCCGAGAUGAAAUAAUUUAAGUAAAUUUUAUGCUAAGGCAUUGAUGUUGUAUUAAGUCCGAGACGCAGGUUACAUAUCCUGAGUCCUAAACAUAAGCAAAUUAAAGGACACAAAAUGUAGCCAAAGGGUAAUUUUAUAUACAUGUAUUCAUCGAAAUGUAUUUACAGAGGCACGAGGAAAUUCCCCCAAAGCAAAAAAUGUACGAAUACAAAAACCAAAAAGGCAAAAAUAUGCUAAGGCAUUCCCUGCCUAGUCUUCAUCAGAGCUCGGCUCACUAUCCGAACCCUCGGGUUGAUACCUCGCCUUAGUCUCAGCUUCAAGCCUCUUGGCCUCUUCAAUCUCGGCUGCUAAGUCAACUCCUCGUGCUUGGAUCUCCUCGAGAGUCUCUCUCGUUAUAAUAUGGACUUCGGUUACCUCUACAUUAUUCUUGUACUAGGCCAGCAUGUCCUGGGCUUGAGAGACAUCAUUCGAAGCCACCUCCAAUUUGGACUUUAGUGUAGUAAAUUCUUGGUCGAGAGCGUACCGUUCUGCAACGGCCAAGGCAAGUUGCGCCCGGAGCUCCUCAUUCAGCCUAGACCAUUUGUUGGCCUUUUCUCUCAUCACUCGGAGUUGCACUUUGGUCGAUGCCAGUUCCUCUUUGGUGGCAUCCCACUUCGAUGCUAGGAGAUAUAUUUUGCCCCUCGGCUCAUCGGUUAAAGCUUUGACCUCGUCCAUUUCGGACCUAAGCUGGUCGAUUAGGGUUAUUUUCUCCUGAACCUAUGAGGUUUCAGUCUUAGCAUUUGUGUUUAACCUCUUGAUAUCAAUCUCAAGGACCCUUACCUUUUCAACCAAGAGGGCAUGGUCUUGUUUAGAUUUCGAAGCCUCCUUUUGGGGUUUCACCAGCUUGGCCUGAAGGACGGAGCGGUCAGCCAUGUCCCUAAGGGCUUUAUCUUUCUCCUCACAAAGAGCUUUGUACAUCUCUUUUUGCUGGACCUGCUCCUUGAACUCAAACUCGAGGUGACUCACCUUCAUCUUGGACCGGUGAAAGCUUUCAUGGUAAAGCACCGAGGCCUAAGAUAUAAAAAGAAAACUGUUAGAAAAACGUUAAGGCAACAUGAACUCGUUGAGGUAAAGAGGGAAAAGGGUAUACCUGACACAACGCAUGUUGAGCUUCGUUGAAGAGACUUGGUCAAUCUACCUCAUUCAUCUUCACUUGGUCUUUCUUAAUUACCAAGGAACAGAGAUAGGUGGGCACCCUGACUGGCCCAGACAACAUGUUGGUAUCUGCUGGCACCGUGAACAUAAUUGUCUUCUUUCGCUCAAGGUCCACGCUCGAGGCCGAAAAUAGCUUCUCGAGCUUCGAGCUCGAGCUUGGCCCAUCUACUCCCGAUUGUACAACCCUUUUUGGGAUCUCCAGGUGGCCAAAGCCAGAUUAAUCCUCUAGCAUGCCAAUGUCCACACCCUCAAAAAAUAAAUUGAGGGCUUCAUCCACAGCCCGAGACAUGUUAGUUGGCUUCUCUUCAGCAGCCCGAGCUUUACUUAAAGUGGCCUCCAGUCGGGGCGGCGAUUUUUGAAUGUGGAUGACGACCUCAUCCUUAAGAGCGGGAUCGGAGGGUCUUCUUGAGAAGCAGUGGCCACAUGUUCCUCCUUGAGCUCCCGAGCUGAGGAGGAUUCAGCCUUACAAUUGCCCCCUUCCGGGGCUACCAGCUAUCUUGUGCGGUGUCGAUCGGUUCGUGAACAAUGAAAUCCAUGUCCUUAUCAUCCUCGGGAAGUCCUUGAGCCGAUGAAGAGCUUCGGAAUCUGGGACCCGAGCACUAGAAGUUUUCUUGGUGCUCUUUCUAACCCUGAGCAUGAUCCUUUUCUUCUUCUUAGCCUCGGCAGGAGCGUCUGAGGAGUCAGGAGAUCUUUUCUUCUUCAUCAUUUUUCCUCCUUCUUUGCAGCCGCUUUGGCGGCAGGCUGUAAUGAAGCGGAGUAUUUUGUAGACCGGGUCGAGGCCACGACCUUGGUGAUUGCCCAAAGUUUGGUGGUCUUAAGAAAGCAUCAGGAAAUCGUCCCCGACUCUUAUUAGGUACUAUUCUUCCAACGACUAUUUCCACUCACUAUUGAGUGCGGAUUGGAUGUGGAUCAAUUUUUUGUGCCAUUGCCGGGGAGUUUUAACGGUGUUAGCUAUAUAUUUGAGUGUGUUCUUGAAGUAUCCUUUUUUCUUUUUGUGUUACUAAAUUGUUGAAGAAAUCGUAGGUACAAAAUGGCGAACAAUAAGCUCAAAUAUAUGCCAUUGGAAGCCUUGAACGGCGAGGAGGAACAACUCAAUGAUGUACCUCAAGUGCCACAACCGAAUCAUCAAGGCCGGGUUCAACAAGACAAUGUACCCGUACCACACCCACCACACCCACAAGCGGCACAACACCGGAUAUUGCCCAGCGAAGGUUAUGCUAGUGCAAUAGUCCCCUCUCGUAUUAGGGCGGGCAACUUUCAAAUUACAUAUGUGACGCUCACUUUGCUAGAGCAACAAGGCUUUUUCACCGGUUCGCCAAGUCAAAAUGCCUAUAUACAUUUAAAGGGCUUUGUGGAUACGUGUUGGGGGAGCAAGCAAACUAAUGUUUCCGAUGAUACUUUGAGGAUAAGGCUUUUUCCCUUCUCUCUAUGGGGAAAAUCUUUAGACUUGUUGGAACAUUUUCCGAAUCAUUCAAUACAUACUUGGGAUGAAUUGGCGGCAAAUUUUAUUGCUAAGGUUUUCUCUCCCAUGCAUAUGGCUACUCUUCGGGAUGAAAUAUUGGCGUUCAAGCAAGAGCCCGGUGAACCUUUGCAUGAGAUUUAGGUGAGAUAUCGGAUAAUGGUGAAGGAGUGUCCAAACAAUGAUAUGACCGGCAAUAUGAUCCAAUAAAUUUUCUACGUUGGUAUCAAUACUACGAACCAAUGAGUGGUCAAUCAAUUAGCCGGUGGAAACUUUAUGACAAGGUAAUUACAACAUGAUACACCUCCACAAAGAGUUGCAAGACCAUGGGCAAGCCAUUGCCGAAUUAAUACCAACCAUGACUCAACUAGAAAAAUCCCAACUUAAUCAAGUGCAAGCUCCUAAGGAAGUUCAUGCUAUGGAGGGAGUAAAUGUAUUGGUGAAUAAGAAGAAGACCAAGGGUCCACAAAUGCAAACUCUAGUGGAGAAUUAUGUGCAAGAUGAUGGUUGUUUUGAUCAAGAUGAUUCUUAUCAUGAGUAAGAGGAGGAAGUUCAAUAUGUGAAUAAUUUUCAAGGGCAAAGAAACAACUUCCAAGGCUAAAAUAAACAACAAUGGCAAACACAAAAUAACCAAGGCAAUUGGAGUUCUAACAAUCAAGAAAAUUGGCAUAAUAACAACAAUCAAGGAAAUUGGAGUGGAAAGAACCAAGAAAAUUGUGGAGGCAAGAGUCAAGGUGGUUGGGGAAACAAUCAAGGCAACCAGGGGUCGGGUUUUCAAAGGCCCACAAUGUAUUAACAACCGAGAAUACGAUAGUUCAAGUUCUUCAAACAAUAAGAUGGGUCAUGUUGAGAAUACGUUUAAGCAAAUGAUGGGAAAAAAUGCCGAUUCGGAUGCCCAACUUGCCUCACACAACACAUCAAUCUGUAAUCUUGAAGUUCAAAUAUGAAAAAUCUCUCAAGCUCUAAAUUCUCGUCCUAAGGGUUCACUACCAAGUGACAUGGGGGUGAACCCAAAGGAUGGUAGCAAUACAGGGCAUGCUAUGGUGGUUAUAACAAGAAGUGAAAGAGGCGGGAAUGCACCCACCUCAAUUGAAAGGCAACUUGUGGAUGACGACCAAGUGGUACAUGAGGAGGAAACCCCAAACAUUGUUGUUCAAGCAAAUGAUGAGGUUCGAAUUGACAUUGAUGAUAGUAUUGAAGAGACUCAAGAAGAGGUGAACCCGUCUAGGGAGCACAUCAUUGACAUACCGAAGCCGGUAGUAUAAAAGGCCAAGGCACCAUUGCCUAAGCCUCAAAGACUUGCCAAGAAAAAUGGCGAGAAUCAAUUCAAGAAGUUCAUUCAACUGAUGAAGAGUCUUUCAAUUAAUAUGUCAUUGGUAGAAGCUUUAGAACAAAUGCUUGAUUAUGCAAAGUUUAUGAAAGUUCUUAUGACCAAUAAGAGGUCAAUGAAUUUUGAAACUAUCAAGGUCACUCAUCAAGUGAGUGCAAUUGUUCAUUCCAUGGCUCCUAAGUUGGAGGAUCCCGGUGCUUUCAUGAUUCCUUGUACAAUUGGGAGUGUCGAGUUUGCUAAAGCUCUUUGUGAUCGUGCGGCGAAUAUUAAUUUGAUGCCUUAUUCAGUUUUCAAAACUUUCAGAAUUGGGCAUCCAAGACCCAUAUAUAUGAGGUUGCAAAUGGCCGAUCAUACUAAGAAGAGGCCGUUGGGAGUGAUUGAGGAAGUUUUGCUCUGGGUUGAUAAGUUCAUUCAACCGGCGGACUUUGUUAAUCUAGAUUGUGAAUUUGAUUAUGAAGUGCCUAUAAUUCUUGGGAGACCUUUCCUUGCUAUGGGUAAGGCUCUUUGUGAUGUGGAAAUCGGAGAACUCACUUUCCGGGUUGGUGACGAAAAGGUGGUAUUCCAUGUGUGUAAGUCUAUGUGACAACAAAAUGUCAAUGAGGUGUGUUCUUUUGUGGACUUGGUGACCGAUGUUAUUGCUGAUGAAAUAAGUGCUACAAUCAACAUUGGUGAUAUGUUGAAAGCCGUUUUGCUCAAUUUUGAUGAUGAUGAGAUGGAUGAGUUCAUGGUGUGUGUGAAUUCUUUGUAAGGCAUGGGGUCGUACAACUAUGCACCCCGGAAAUUAUCUUUGGAUCUUGAGAAUAGGAAGACUCCUCCUACAAACCCUUCUAUUGAAGAGCCACCUACUUUGGAGUUGAAGCCAUUUCCUCCACACCUUUGAUAUGAAUUUCUUGGCCAUUCUUCUAUUUUACCGAUUAUUCUUUCCUCUUGUUUAACUAACGUGCAGAUUGAUUCCACAUUGGCGGUGUUGCAAAAGAGGAAGAAGGCUAUUGGGUGGACUUUGGCGCAUAUUCGGGGUAUAAGCCCCGCAUUUUGCAUGCAUAAGAUCAAGUUGGAGGAUGGUGCUAAACUGUCCAUCGAACAUCAAAGAAGACUCAAUGAGGCUAUGCAAGAAGUGGUCAAGACGGAGAUUAUCAAAUGGUUGGGUGCCGAGGUUGUCUACACCAUCUCCGAUAGUUCAUGGACCUCUUCGGUUCAAUGUGUCCCAAAGAAAGGGGGCAUGACGCUUGUUACCAAUGAUAAGAAUGAGUUUAUUCCUACAAGAACAGUGACCGGUUGGAGGGUUUUUAUGGAUUAUCAUAAGCUCAAGAAAGUCACAAGGAAGGAUCACUUUUCACUUCCUUUCUUGGACCAAAUGCUAGAUACAUUAGCCUGCCGUGAUUUUUAUUGUUUUCUUGAUGGCUACUCGGGCUACAACCAAAUUCUUAUUGCUCCGGAAGAUUAAGAGAUAACAACCUUUACAUGUCCUUAUGGUACUUUUGCUUUCAAGAAGAUGCCUUUUGGUUUGUGCAAUUGUCAUGACACCAAUUUCCCUCCGUAGGAUAUCGUGAUGGAACCUAGUCUCUACGACUAGGUAAGCCUAACAUUUGUUAACAAUUGAACAGAACAAAAUUAACAAGUACCAAAACAAAACUAAAUAACUGAUAAAACCUUCUGAAAACAGAAUCUCAUCAAUAUACACCCGAAAAUAGGUGGAACUGAGUCAUGAUCUCCAUAGAGUAUAACUAGAGUACUACUACAUCACUGUACGAAAGGAUAUACAACAAUAAAUGAGAAUAAGGGGAGGUGACUCCGAGGUCUGUGGACGCCGAGCAGGCAUACCUUGAAGUCUCCGAUAAGGCAGCUAGGAGGUAAUCUCUAAUGACCGGCAUGAGCAUACAUACCUGGAUCUGCACAAAAAAAAUGUACAGAAGCAUAGUAUAAGUACACUACAACGGUACCCAAUAUAUAUCGAGCCUAACCUCAGUAGAGUAGUGACGAGGUCAGGUCAAGACACCUACAAAGAUAUAAAUAAAUAGUAUAAAAAUAUAAUACGGAUAUGUAACAGAAAGUGAAGAAAUAACUAAUACGGAACAAGAUGAUAGUAUGAACUAGUACCAAAAAUCAACAAUAGAAAUAGCAUAAAAGUAGCAACUAAAGGGGACAUAAUGAUCAUGUACGGACAACAACUGCUAGAACAAAUAAGAGUGAACAACAAGAUAUAUUCCCACCAAAACACUUUGCAACAUGAAAUAAACAGCAAUAAUCACAACGAGGUACUGCCUCGUGUAUAAUGAAAUCAAAACCGAGGUACCGCCUCGUAUAAUCAAGAAUCACAAUCGAGAUACCGCCUCGUAUUCACAUAUCUCAAUUUCAAUCACAAUCCUUCCUUAUACCGCCGCGUGAGCCUUAUAUUUGAAAUAGGUUUUGAAAAUAGUUUUUCCAAAAUAGCUACCCACUUUAGCCCACCUUAUGAAGUCGUGUGACUUCACGUAGUUCCCCUAUAAGCAACACGCACAUUAGUCCCACCUUAUACCACCACAUGCACAUCAACCCCAAGCCUUAUACCGCCGCACGCGCGUCAAUAUCAUAUCACAAUAACAAUUCGCACCACAAGUGCCCAUAUAUCACAACUCGCUAACGACAAAAAUAUCAAUAUUUCCACAACAAUAGCUCAUGGCUCUACCACAACGUAUACAAGAAUAUCAACAACAACAAUGAAUUAAAAAUGCUCAAUAAAAUAGAUAUUUCAACAAUAACCAACAUUGCCUCAACAUAUUAACGGCUUUCAUAACUUCAACACCAAAUAACUCAAUAAUGAGAGAGAUAAUGUAUAACCACGAUAUCAUAUAAGACUAACUCACAAUAAAAGAGAUAAUAUUUAACAAUGAGUCUCAAACAAUGGAAAUCAACAUGUAAAAGGGAUAACAUAAACAAUUACUUCAAGUAACGAAAAUCAAUAAAGAAAGAGAUAACACUAACAAUAACUUCAAAUAAUAACAAUUAACAAUGAAGAGAUAGCAUGUAACAAUAAAAGAGGCAACAAAUUCAACUAAAGCAUGGGAGCAAUUUAGUAAGUAGGAUGUAGAACAAGUACUAAGCAAGUCAAUUAAGUCAUGUAAGGAUAGUUUAACACAAUUAAGGAUAAAUUGACUAUGGAAAUUUAGAACAUAAUAUGGCAUUUCAAUUAAAGCAUGGAAAUAGUCUAAGUAGCCUAAACCAGUCAAAUACCAUGCACAACCUGUAUACCCACUCGUCACCUUGCAUACACAGAUUUCACUUAGCACAAUUGAAUCAAACAAUACCAAUCAUAAGGGGUAGUUCCCCCACACGAACUUAGGCAAGACACUUACCUCAACUAGUCUAGUUCAACACUCAAAAAUAGCUUUUCCCUUAAAAUCCACCUACACACGGCUCAAAUAUAACAAAAAUCGACUCAAUAUUAUCAAAAAAUGUUAGGGAAUUCAAUUGCAAUAGAUAAAGUUAAGAUCUUUAAACAUUUUCCAAAAAGUCAACAAAUGUCAACCAGGGGCCCGCUUGGUCAAAACAUGUGUCCAAUGGUAGAUUUCGUCUACACAUGACCCCACGAGUCUAUAUAUAGGAUUAGUUUCACAAUUCGAGUCCAAAUCGACUCUCUAAACUUAAUUUCUUACCGAACAUGCUCAAGAACUGUGUGAGGGUCUCCAGAAGUGCUGGGGUGGCAAUAGGCGCCGCGGGUGCCUGUCCUCCGACUGAAGCUACUGGUGUCUCCUCUGUCACAGCUCGGGUAGGUGCUCUGGAUGCACCACGUGCCGCUCAUCGACCUCACCCCCGGCCUCUCGCGGCUCUAGCAGGGGGAGCGGGUGUCUGAUCGUCGGAUCCAGUGGUACAUGUCCUCACAAUCUGUGAGAGAAUAGAAAGUCAAAGAUUUAGUUUUCGAAAUCAACCAAUUCACACAAUAAGGAAUCAAAGAAGUGAAGUUUCCUAACAAUUCCUUAGCCUCUUGAAGAUAAGUACAUACGCCUCCGUACCGGUCCACACGAUUCUACUAAACCUACUUAUGACUCGUAACACCUAUGAACCUAGAGCUCUAAUACCAACUUGUCACGACCCCAAUUUUCCUUCGUAUGAUGUCGUAAUGGCACCUAGUCUUUAAUACUAGGUAAGCCUAACAUUUGUUAACAAUUGAACAUAAUAAAAUUAACAAGUACCAAAAUAAAACUGAAAAACUGAUAAAACCUUUUGAAAACAGAAUCUCAUCAAUAUAUCCCAAACCAGUAAAACUAAGACAUAAGCUUUACAGAGUAUAACUAGACUACUACUACAUCACUAUCCAAAAAGAAAUACAGCAGUAAAUGAUAAUAAGGGAAGGUGACUCCGAGGCCUGCGGACGCCGAGCAGGAAUACCUUGAAGUCUUCGAUAAGCCAGCUACCAGGUAAUCUCUAACGACCGGCACGAGCACAAGUACCUAGAUCCGCACAAAGAAAUGUGCAGAAGCGUAGUAUGUGUACACCACAAUGGUCCCCAAUAAGUAUCGAGUCUAACCUCAGUAGAGUAGUGAUGAGGCCAGGUCAAGACACCUACUAGGAUAUAAAUAAACAGUAUAAAAAUGUAAUACGGAUAUGUAAUGGAAAGUGAAAAAACAACUAAUACGGAACGAGAUGAUAGCAUGAACUAGUACCAGAAAUCAACAACAGAAAUAGCAUAAAAGUAGCAACUAAAGAGGCUACAGUGAUCAUGUAUGGACAACAACUGCUAGAACAAAUAGGAGUGAACAACAAGAUAUAUUCCCACCAAAACACUUUGCAACAUGAAAUAAACAGCAAGAAUCACAACGAAGUACUGCCUCGUGUAUAAUGAAAUCAAAAACAAGGUACCGCCUCGUAUAAUCAAGACUCACAACUGAGGUACCACUUCGUAUUCACAUUUCUCAAUUUCAAUCACAAUCCUUCCUUAUACCGCUGCGUGAGCCUUACAUUUGAAAUAGGUUUUGAAAAUAGUUUUCCCGAAAUAGCUACCCACUUUAGCCCACCUUAUGAUGUCGUGUGGCUUCACGUAGUUCCCCUAUAAGCAACACGCAUAUUAGUCCCACCUUAUACCGCCACAUGCACAUCAACACCAAGCCUUGUACCGCCGCAUGCGCGUCAAUAUUAUAUCACAAUAACAAUUCGCACCACAAGUGUCCAUAUAUCACAACUCGCCAACGACAACAAUAUCAAUAUUUCCACAACAAUAGCCAUGGCUCUACCCCAACGUAUACAAGAAUAUCAACAACAACAAUGUAUGAAAAAUGCUCAAUAAGAUAGAUAUUUCAACAAUAACCAACAUUGCCUCAACGUAUUAACAAUUUUCACAACUUCAACACCAAAUAACUCAAUAGUGAGAGAGAUAAUGUAUAACUAUGAUAUCAGAUAAGACUAACUCACAAUAAAAGAGAUAAUAUUUAACAAUGAGUCUCAAACAAUGGAAAUCAACAUGUAAAAGGGAUAACAUAAACAAUUACUUCAAGUAACGAAAAUCAAUAAAGAAAGAGAUAACACGAACAAUAACUUCAAAUAAUGACAAUUAACAAUGAAGAGAUAGCAUGUAAUAAUAAAAGAGGCAACAAGUUCAACUAAAGCAUGGGAGCAAUUUAGUAAGUAGGAUGUAGAACAAGUACUAAGCAAGCCAAUUAAGGCAUGUAAGGAUAGUGUAACACAAUUAAGGAUAAAUUGACUAUGAGAAUUUAGAACAUGAUAUAGCAUUUCAAUUAAAGCAUGAAAAUAGUCUAAUUAGCCUAAACCGGUCAAAUACCACGUACAACCUGUGUACCCACUCGUCACCUUGCAUACACGGAUUUUACUUAGCAUAAUUAAAUCAAACAAUACCAAUCCUAAGGGAUAGUUCCCCCACACGAAGUUAGGCAAGACACAUACCUCAAUUAGGCUAAUUCAACACUCGGAAAUAGCUUUUCCCUUAAAAUCCGCCUCCACAUGGCUCAAAUCUAACCAAAAUCGACUCAAUAUCAUCAAAUAGUGCUAGGGAAUUUGAUUAUAAUAGAUAAAGUUAAGAUCCAUACACUUUUUCUAAAAAGUCAACAAAAGUCAACUUGGGCUCCACCGGUCAAAACACGUGUCCAAUGGUAGAUUCCGUCUACCCAUGACCCCACGAGUCCAUAUAUGUGAUUAGUUUCAAAAUCCGAGUCCAAAUCGACUCUCAAAACUCAAUUUCUUAUUUUUCAAAAACAUGACAAAGUUUCACAAAUUUUCACUUUGAUUCAUAUGAUUUUGAUGUUAAAAUCUAACAUAUGUUGAUGGAAUAUGAUUAGAAAUAGAUUAGAAUCACUUACCCAAGGUUUGUAGGUGAAAAUCCCUCUUCAAAUCGCCUCCUACCGAGUCUAGGGUUCAAAUAUGAGAGAAUGAGUUCAAAACUCCCGUCCCUCGGCUUUUUGUCCAGCCGCAGAUGUCGCAAAUGCGACCAGUGGUUCACAAUUGCGAACCCCGCAAAUGCGAAGAAUCCCUCGCAAAUGCGAAGACCUUCCAUUUUUGUUGUCAUCGCAAAUGCGACGAAAAGUUCGCAAUUGCGAACCUUGGACCUCCGCAAAUGCGACCAUGAAGAUCGAAAAUGCGAACCAGCUCUCCCCAGGUAAUUAUCGUAAAUGCGAACCCAGCAUACUUGGCCUAACAUCGCAAUUGCGAUCCAAAAACUCGUAAAUGUGAGAUCUGAAGCACCUGUGCAUAAACCAGCAAACUUAAACUUUAUCAACACUAUGCUAAGCGUCUGAAACUCACCCGAGCCCUCGGGGCGCCAAACCAAAUAUCCUCACAAGUCAAAAAAUAUCAUACGAACUCGCUCGCGCAAUCAAAACACAAAAAUAACAUCUAAAACUACGAGUUGAACUCUAAAAUGCAUGAAUUUUAAAGAAAUUUUCAAGAACUCCUAGAAUUACAAUUAGACGUCUGAAUCCUAUCAAAUCAAGUCCAAACGACACCAAAUUUUGUAGACAGGUUCUAAAUACCAUAACGGACCUAUUCCAAAUCCUAAAAUUAAAUUCUGAACUCGGUAUAUAAAAGUCAGCCUACAGCCAAACUUUUCAACUUAAAAUUGCCAAAUUUCGGCAAAUCAACACAAAUCAACCUACGAACUUCCAAAAUCUAUUUCGGGCAUAUGCCUAAGUCCGAAACAUCGAUACGAAGCUAUCAAAGCUAUAAAAAUAUAGUUCCGGGGUCAUUUUUACAAAAGUCAAAGUUUAGUCAACAUUUUUAAAUUUAAACUUCAAAGUCAAGAAUCAAGGGUCAAAAUAAACCCGAAAGCUUUCUGAAAUGAAACUAACCAAUCUGUCAAGUCAUAAAAGCAUAAACACACAAGUGUGAAGCAAUAAAAAGGGUAACGGGAUGCAAUUACACAAAAUGAUCGAUCGGGUCGUUACAGCAAUGCACCGAUGACUUUUCAACGGUGUAUGAUGGCUAUUUUCACGGACAUGGUGAAGGACUACCUUGAAGCUUUCAUGGAUGACUUCUUGGUGGUUAGGGAUUCUUUUGAUGAUUGUCUUGCAAAUUUGGGCAAAGUGUUGGCUAGAUGUGAAUAGACCAAUUUGGUGCUCAAUUGGGAAAUGUCAUUUCAUGGUCGAGGAAGGCAAUGUCCUUGGCUAUAAAAUCUCAAGGAAUGGAAUUGAAGUUAAAAAAGCGAAGAUUUAGGUGAGUUAUAAGCUUCCACCCCUAACAUCGGUGAAGGGUGUGUGUAGUUUCUUAGGCCAUGCGGGUUUCUACCGUCGUUUUAUCAAAGAUUUUUCUAAAGUGGUGAACCCAUUGUGUAAUCUCCUUGAGAAGGAUGCCAAGUUCCAUUUCAAUGAUGAUUUGUAUGAGGGAUUUCUAACUAUUGAAGCUCAAGUUGACAUCCCCUCCUAUCAUUACCGCUCCAAAUUGGAGUUUGCCUUUUGAACUCAUGUGUGAUGCAAGUGACGUUACGGCUAGGGCUAUUUUGUGGCAAUGUAUUAACAAGGUUAUUCAUCCAGUUUACUAUGCUAGUAAGAUCAUGAAUAGUUCCUAAGUCAAUUACACCAUUACGGAGAAAGACCUUAUUCCCAUUGUGUUUACAAUUGAGAAGUUUCACCCGUACUUGAUGGGUGCCAAAGUUAUUGUCCAUACGGAUAAUGCGGCGCUUCGCUAUCUUAUGAGAAAAAAGGAUUCUAAAGCUCGGUUGAUGAGAUGGGUACUCUUGUUGCAAGAAUUUGAUAUUGAUAUUCAAGAUAGGAAAGGUAGAGAAAACCAAGUGGGGGACCACUUGUCUCGUUUGGAGGAGGAGGGGAGGCCACAUGAUGGCCUUCAAAUCAAUGACUCAUUUCUCGAUGAGCAACUUUAGGAAAUUUCAAUAAAAGAGGUGCCAUGGUUUGCGGACUUGGCAAAUUUUCUUGUGAGUGAAAUUAUUCCGGAUGAGUUCUCUUCAAACCAAAGGAAGAAGCUCAAAAGAGAUUGUCAAGAUUAUUAUUGGGAUGAACCAUACCUUUUCCGGAUUUGUACGGAUGGGGUGAUUAGAAGGUGUGUACCAGAAGAAGAGUAAGGCGAUAUUCUUGGUGCUUGUCAUUCUUCGCCAUAUGGUGAUCGUCAUGGUGGAGCAAGAACGGUGGCCAAAGUUCUUAGUUGUGGUUUCUAUUGGCCUACUCUUUACAAAGAUUCAAGUGACUUAGUGAAAACACGUGAUGAAUGCCAACGGGCCGGUGGAAUUUUAAAGAAAAAUGAGAUUCCACUCACAACCAUCUUGGAAUUGAUAUUUUCUAUGUUUGGGGCAUUGACAUUAUGGGCCCUUUUGUGAGUUCUUGUGGAAACAGUUAUAUCUUGGUCGUGGUAGAUUAUGUGUCCAAAUGGGUUUAGGUUGUCGCCUUACCCAACAAUGAGGCAAGAAGUGUAGUGGCUUUCUUGAAGAAGAAUAUUUUUACAAGAUUUGGUACUCCAUGUGCAAUCAUAAGCGAUGGGGGGUCACACUUUUGCAACAAGGCUUUUGACACUUUACUUGAAAAGUAUGGUGUUACUAACAAGGUCAUGACUCCCUAUCAUCCACAAGCUAGUGGUUAAGUGGAAGUCUCCAACAUGGAGAUAAAGCGUAUCUUGUCUAAAACGGUGAACGCUAAUAGGACGGAUUGGUCCAAGAAUCUUGAUGAUGUGCUAUGGGCUUAUAGGACGGCUUAGAAAACACCUAUCGGAAUGUCUUCAUACCAGUAAGUUUUUGAGAAAGCUUGUCAUCUUCCGGUGGAACUAGAGCACAAGACAAUGUGGGCUUUAAAAAAAUGAAUCUUGAUUGGGAUGUAGCCGCUAACUUGCGGGUUGCACACUUGAAUGAGUUGGAUGAGUUUCGGUACCAUGCAUAUGAGAGCUUGUCCUUGUACAAAGAAAAGAUGAAAUAACUUCAUGACAAAUACAUUUGGAACAAAGAAUUCAAGGCGGGUGAUCUUGUAUUGUUGUUUAACUCAAGGUUGAGCAUGUUUCCCGGGAAGCUCAUGUCCAAGUGGAGUGGUCCAUUUGAAAUUGUUGGUGCGACACCUUUCGGUGCAUUGGACUUGAAGAACAAGAACAAUGAAGUAUUCCAAGUCAAUGAUCACUAGGUGAAGCACUAUUUGGGUAAAGUUGGAGAGAGCCAUGUGGUGGCGGUCCUUUACUUCACUUGAAGAUGCUUAGACAUUACUUCGUGUCGCGACGUUAAAUCAGGCGCUUCUUGGGAGGAAACCCAAGUUCUUUUCCUUUUUCUUUUGUAGUUAGGUGUUAUUUGUUUUUUUCUAACUUGAUUUGAAGUGUGCAAUAAGGUUGAGUGUUACAUGCAAGAAGGGUGUACAAAUAGAAAAGUGUUGAAGGAAAUACGGACCUCACAUUUUAAUUGUGCGGCUGCAGAAUUAAUUGUGCCACAGUAGAAGAACUUGUACAGCCACACAUUUCACAUGUGGACUGCACUUCUGAAAGUUUAACAAAAUGUUAAAUUUCAAACUCUCUGAAGUUGAGCCUAUCAGUCCAGGGCUAAUCUGCGGCCACGAGAGGAAUUGGGCGGCCACACUCAAAAAUGUGUGGACCGCACAAGUGACACAGACCAUUGCUGCCCAAGUGAAGGAGUGCGGACCGUACUUGGAAUUGUGCGGCCGUACUCAACCUUGUAACCUUUUAACAGUUCUAAGUAUAAAUAGGAGUUCUACAUUCAUUUUACAAUUUUUUUUCCCUCCUUACAAUCAGUGUUAGUCUAGAAGCUUCACUGGGGAUUUUUCUCUGCCAAACACACACACCCAUCUAUGUUCACACGAUCUAGUACACUCACUUCAUCUGGUAUGCCUCACUUUAUGUUAAUAGUUUGUGUUAUUUUAAUUUUUAAAUUUCUUUAGCUUAUUUUUAGGCUAUCUAUUAUUAGAGUUCAUCCAUGUAUCCAUGUGGAGUAGAUCUAUACUGGGUGGUCGUUAAUACAUGCUAAAAUGGGUUGGGUUAGUUAAAUUUCAUGUGUAUACCAUGUUGCCACGUAGAUUUGAACUAGUAUUUGCAAAAAGUAGGUAACAAGAAAAGUCAUGUUCGUUAAGGUUUGAAAUAUGUGGCCGCACUUAAAUUUCUACGGACCGCAGUUGUUGAUUUGGUAACAGGUGAAGAUAAGUGCAUUCUGUGGCCGCACUUUAAUUGUGUGGACCGCAGAAUUCUUGGUGAGGCCGCACUAAAGUCCGCACUGUCUUCAGAGACUUAUCUUUUAAAAUGACAAAAGUGCGGACCGCACUUAUAAUUCCACGGACCGCAGAUGAAUUUUGCGGCUGCACUUUAGUUGUCGCAUUGUCUUCAAAGAGGAAGAAUCUAAGCCUCUGAUUUUUUUUGUCAGAAGUGCGGCCUCACAUGAAAAUGUGCGAUCUGCACUCCCAUUCUACGGUCGCACAUUAGAAAAGUGCAAACCGCAGAUCCCAUGUUCUGCACCAUGUUCAUCAUGUUGUAACCUUAUUGUGUCCACAUUGUUCUCCCUUGUGUACUUGAGUCUUAACUGUGUUGAAUGAUGACUUGCAAAUAAUAAUUCUCUUUGUUUUUAUACAGAUAAUGGUUCGAUCACGAGAUCGCGGCGAAACUGCCAAUGGUAGAGGAGAGUCUUCUAGGGGUCGAGGCAGUGGUGCCUUGCACCUCAGUGUGCCCAAGACUAUUAGGAAGAAAGCCACAGCAGGCAAAUGGAGGGGUGCAUACCUCUCCUAGUUUAGUUCUUAUGCCCCAUCUAAAGAGGCUUUCAAGGGCAACUCAAUGUCUAUUCCGGAGGAACAAACAGCUGAGCAGUCCGGGCCACAGGGGCGAUCUGAGCCUCUAGAUGUGCCUUCAUCAUCUCACAGCACUUUUGAGGGUUCGAAAAGUGAUAGCCAGGCUUCCGAGCCAGCUGCUCCAGUAUCUGGUGCACAUGAUAUUCUAGAUGAUGGGAGAGGGGGAGAAGGUAUAUCUACCAGGUUUGAUCGGACAAAGAAGAAGGAAACAUGGGAAGAUAUAUUUAUGAGCAUGUCUGCCUUUACUGAUUUUUGAAUGUUGUAGCCGCUGAGGUUAUUAAUGCAUGAGCAACAGUUCCUAUUGAAGGAUCUUGAUAGAUACAACCCUGCAGUUUUUGAGCAGUUCAGGACGAGAAAGGGAUGGAUGUUGUUUACUGAGAAGGUAGUGGGUGUUAAGGAGCACCUUGUCCAUGAGUUUUAUGCCAAUAUUUCACACAAUCGCAAGGGAAAAAAGGUGACCAAAGUACGCAACCUCAAGGUGUAGUUUAAUCACCACACGCUGAACACGUACUUGGGAUUUGAGGACUUGGAACCAAAGGAGUACUUGGAGAAGUUGGCCUUGAAAGAAGAGCCCAACCAUGGCUUGCUGAGAUCUUGGCACCGGGACCACCUCCACAAUGGAUUACUGUUAGGGUACCUAUUCUCCGAAGUAUAUUGAGCUUUGAGGCAAAAGGUUGGCAAACCUUUGUGUGCAACAGGCUUGACCCAUGCCAGAAUGAGAACAACUUGUCUGUUCCACAUGCUGUUCUAGUGGCUUCUAUCAUGGCCGGGAACCCGAUCAAUGUGGAUGCCCUGAUGUCGGCCAACAUUUCUUUGGUAAAGCAGAAGACUAACACGACUCACCCCUACCCCAGCACUAUUACAUAGUACCUCACAGAUGCAAAGGUAGAGCCCAAGCCAUUUGAUACAAAGGUAAAUCCUAAGAAGCCGUUUGAGUGGCACUCGCUGCAGGAUCCAAGCAACCCGAAAAAGAGUUCUCAGCCUUCUAUUACUGUAGGCCAAUCUGAUGAGCCGAUAGUGGUAGUUUCUGACAUAGUUGAUAUUCCAUUCACAUCAGCUGAGCCCUCUACCAAUGCAUUAGCUACUAUGCCUGAGCCGUCAUCUUCAGCUCAUCCUACAGUCCCUUCCACAACUCCUAAGGCUGCCCCUACUCUGAUUCUGAGGCUGGUGCCCGCCUACAGGCCCACUUUCUGCUCUGCGAGUCUCCCAGACAUUGGCGAGUCUCAACAACUGGAUGCAGGCAGCUACCUCAAAGCUGUCUGAGAUAUCUACUACUAUUGCAGGUCUGUUAUCCACACAGGCACCGCGGGAUUCUACUGAGCUUGAUGAGAAGCUGGGAAAGAUUCUGGAUAACCAGAAGGUGAUCAUGGACCCACUAGUACAUCAUGGUUCAGUUAUUGAGGUCUUGACCAAACAGGCCAAGAAGAUGAGGAAAUCUCAAGCCAGCAAGAAGUCUGUGAAUGUGCUACGAGAAGAGGUGACCCGGCUAGCUAUAGUUGGGGAUUUUAUAUUGCUUGACCCAGAUCAGUCCGCCCCAGAUCCAUUUGCACAGUUUGCUCUAGCUGGCCAGUUUGAGGAGCCAUGCCUUGCCGUCGACACUACUGACGCAAUGCGUGUGAUGUUCACCACUCCCGCCACUCCCAAAUAUGAUGAUGAUAUUCAGUUGGUUGAGCCAACAGAGGUUGAUGCUGCUGGGGACACUGAGAUGUUCAAGGAUGCUUAGGGAAUUUCUUCGCCCUCUCUCUUUUUACUCUUAUUUUGUUAAGCAUUGGGGACAAUGCUUACUUUUUAUUCGGGGGGGGGGGGGGGUUAUAGNNNNNNNNNNNNNNNNNNNNNNNNNNNNNNNNNNNNNNNNNNNNNNNNNNNNNNNNNNNNNNNNNNNNNNNNNNNNNNNNNNNNNNNNNNNNNNNNNNNNNNNNNNNNNNNUNUGUGUUCUNUNUUNUGUGUGUGUNGUNGGGGGGGGGUUUAUUUAAUGAUACAUUUAGAUACAUUUAGACUGUAAUAAUUGGAUGAUUCUUUUUUUUUUUAUCUAUCUUUAGUUAGUUAUUGCUUUCAUUAGCUUCUUCAAUUAUUUACUUUGAUUUUUGUUUUGUUAGUAGCUUCUUCUUAUAUUAGUAGUUUUCAUGUUUUUUGUAGUAAUAUGGAUAAUAAGCCUUUGCUUUUUUUAAUGUCACGGUUCUUUCCAAAGGUAGUCUUUUGUGUGAAUCGGGUGACUCUUCCCGAGGAUGGAUGGUGUGGCAACUUUCUUAAGGGAAUGAGUCUGUUUUUGUGUUUAGCUAAUAAUAAUAGUAGUAGUAAUGAAUAAAAGCCCUAUAAAAUCAUUCUCUAACAAGAGUUAUUCAUGCUUCAUUUGGCACCAACAUACUUAACUAUGUGCUUAUGGUUUGAAACAAGAUUUUUGAAAGAAAAUAGCUCUAGUUAGUGACUUUGAGACUCUUGAAUUGACUUGAUAAUCAUUGAGUGGUUAAUUGGACCAUAGUGAUAUUUAACUUGAUUGUGAUUGUUGUAGGUUGUAGACUCUAUCCUCUUUUACGGUCUAGUUGCAUGAGGGAUGAGGUGCUCCUAAUGUGCUACAAGGCAAAAUCCUAGGUUUGCUUGGUUUGGAAGAUGAUUGUAGGCUUUCCUUGGUCCGUUUGAGCUUUCUAUUGCCGCCCAAUGCUUGUUUUCCCUAGUCAACCCCUUUGAGCCUUUAUCCUUUCUUUAUUGGUAACCGUGCUACAAGCCUUUAUCCGUUUUGUUGUAAUCAUCUCUUGGCACCCCGACCUUUUUUAACACUCUUAUGAAAUAAGCGGCUUAAGGCAUAAGUUUGGGGGGAGAGUUGAGGAAUUUGAAAGAGGUAUCAAGGCACCUGUAAUGACCCAAAUGGUCAUUUUAAGCUCUAGUAGGUUGUUCGGCGGUUUGAGACCUUGAUCAGCUUCACUUCAUGUUUUAUGACUUGUACGUGUGGUUUGUAUUGAAUUUCGGAAGGUUCGGAGUUGAUUCGAAUGGAAAAUUCUCAAUUCGGAAGCUUUAAGCUGGAAAAGUUGACCAAAGUUUGAAUUUUGAGUAAACGACCUCAGAAUCAGGAUUUGAAGGUUCCAAUAAGUUUGUAUGAUGAUUUCAGACUUGGGCGUAUGUUCGGGUUGAGUAUCGGGUGGUCCAGAAGCAUUUUAGUGCAUAUUGUGGAAAGUUGGCAAUUCGAAGGUUUUAGAAUUUCUUAAGUUUGGUUUGAAGUGAACUUUGGUGUUAUCGAUGUCUGUUUGGUGUUCUGAGCCUUAGAAUAGGUUCAUAUCAUGAUUUAUGACUUGUACAUAAAGUUUGGCGUCAUUCCGAAAAGUUUAAGUGUAAUUCAGACGAGUUCGUCGAAGUUUGAAUGUUUGAAAGUUAAAAGGAGGAGUUGACCAUCGAUUCAUGGUUUUGGUGUUUUUUAGUGAGAUUUAAGGCCUCGAGCAGGUUCGUGUUAUAUUUUGGGACUAGUUUGUGUAACUGGACGGGGUCCCGGGGGCCUCGGGUGUGUUUCGGAUAUGUUUGGGUUGUGUCGCGUUCUUAUUUGAUAUUUCGGCGUCGUUUUCUUGGGUAUAAAGGAUACUAUAUUGAGCAAACGACCUUUAAUUUGUAAUUUGAUUGAACCAUUAGAUCUGUAUCGUAACUACGGAGUCAUAGCAACAAGAAUAAUCGAAUUCUGAUGUCGUAUGAGAGAGUUAUGCCCAUUUUCAUGUCGGAAAAGAUUGAUGGUGUUGUUGAUGCUCAGGUAUCGCAAUUGCGAAUAUUUGUACGCAAUUGCGAAUAUUUGUUCGCAAUUUGCGAAGAUUGUAGAUAUUUGCCUUGGUUUGCAAUUGCGAACAUUAUUCGCAAUUGCGAAGCCUGUAGAUUUUUGCCUUGGUUCGCAAUUACGAAGUCUAUAGAUUUUUGCCUUGGUUCGCAAUUGCGAACACUUGUCCGCAAUUGCGAGGGUCCGUAGGAGGCGGGAUUUUGGAGACAUUCUCUUGUCUGCACCUGGUAAAAGUGCUGGGAGACGGAAUUUUGGAGACAUUCUCUCAUUUUUGGAACCCUAGGUUCGGUAUGAGGCGAUUUUGGAAAGGGAUUUUCUUCUACAAUCUUUGGGUAAGUAAUUGUGUUCAAUUUCCAACUAUUUUAUGUGGAUUAUAUAUAGAUUUUAACAUAGAAUUGGUGGAAAUUGGGGGACUUUUGAAGAAAAAUCUCUUAAAUCGUAUUUUUGGAUUUUGACCACGAAAUUGGACAUGGAAUUUGGAAUAAAUUAUAUAUUUGAGUUCGUAAUGUUAUUGGUAAAGUUUAUCUUUGAAAAUUUUUGGAAUUUGGGCACGUGGGCUGAGGAUUAACUUUAUUAACUUUUCGAGCGGAGUUGGGAAUUGUUAUAAAUUGAUUAAUUAUAAGAAUUGGAGUAUAUUUUGAUUGAUUUGUACAUUGUUUAACUAAUUUCGGAUCGUUUGGCUUUGAAUCGAGGUGUUAGAGAGGCAUUGGAGCCGGUUAUGAAAAUUCAAAGCGAGGUAAGUCUCCUGUUUAACCCUGUGAGGGAGAAUUUACCCUGUAGGUGUUAUAUUCUUAUGUGCUACAUGUUGUGGGAUCUACGCACGUAUGAGGUGACGAGUGUCUGUGCGUAUGCUAGGAUUCCUGAUUUGUCCGGGUAGACUUAGAUUUACGCCAUGCUUUAAUUAUACUAUUUGAGUUAUCCUUGCUUGUUUAAUUCCUUUAUUUUGUGUUACGACUUGAGACUAGGCUUGCGUAGAGUGAUAAACUCGCUAUUGUAAGAGAUUUGACGAGCUACUUGAUUAGCCGCGGAAUAAUUGUACUUCCCUUAUGAAUUUCUCUCGCGUUGUGAGUUUUCAUCGAAAAGCUUCUUUAAAUUUCAUAACUUACACGAAUAUUCGUGAGUGGGGUCAAGGACCCGUUAAAACUUCUUAUUCUUAUGGGAUCGGGCCAUUCGCCUUGAUAGGAUUAUGUACCACACUCUUAUAUGAUAGGGUCGUUCGCCUCGGCAGGAUUAUGUACCGCACUCUUAUAGGAUCGAGCCAUUCGCCUCAAUUGGAUUAUGUACCACACUCUUAUGGGAUUGGGUCGUUCACCUCGAUAGUAUCAUAUUCCUAUGGGAUCGGGUCGUUCACCUCGACAGUAUCAUAUUCUUAUGGGAUCGGGCCAUUUACCUCGGCAGUAUCAUAUUUUUAUGGAAUCGGGUCAUUCGCCUAGGUAGCAUCAUAUUCUAAUGGGAUCGGGCCGUUCGCCUCGGCAUUUCUAUAAAUACUCUUAUGGGAUCGGGUCGUUCGCCUCGGCAUUUCUAUAAAUACUCUUAUGGGAUCGGGUCGUUCGCCUCGGCAGCUUCAUGAAACACUCUUAUGGGAUCGGGUCGUUCGCCUCGGCAACAUCGUGCGUAAUAUUUGACAAGAAGCCGUCGUAUCCAUGAGUUUUCCUGAUUUGAGUUGUGAUGACCUAUCUGGUGGGAACUAUUUUAUAUAUAUACUCCGGUUGAGGAGGUAACCGAUAAUUGAGAGCUUGUGUUUACUGUUCAGAGGAGGAUCGUAUCAGUACCUAUAUUUGUUUACACUAUUUAUUUACCAUGCCUCAUACUUGUUUACUUUCUAUUGUACUUGAUUUAUUGGACUACUAGUAAGUGUCAAUGUCGACCCCUCAUCACUACUUCUCCGAGGUUAGCCUAGAUACUUACUGGAUACGCGUUAAUUUACGUACUCAUGCUACACUUCUGCACUUAUUGUGCAGGUAUAUAUUUCUGGUGGUCUUUUGGAUGCAAAGGCGUAGCUAUUGCGAGGACUUUACGAUGAGUUGCAUCCUAUGUUACGAUCCGCAGCAUACGGUAUCUCCAUCAGAGUUAUUUAUAUUUUUCCUGUCUAACCUGUAUUCCAGACAGAUGUUUUAUUGUUAUUGUACCUUCUAGUAGAUGCUCAUGUACUUGUGACACCGAGUUUUGGGGGUUCCUAGUGGAUGUUCAGUAUUGUAGUUCAUGUUAUUAUUAUUAUUUUGCCUUGUAAUUUAUAUUUUAUACGGGAUUUGGUAAAGAAAAUCACAGGUUUCUACGAGUGUCAGAUUUUACUCUAUUUAUGAUUUUAAAAAUAACAAAAUGAGUAAUUAAGUUGAUAAUUCACCGUUGGGCGCCAUCACGGCCAAUAGUGAAUUUUGGGUCGUGACAACACCAAAAAGACAAAAGAAAUGAUCUCUAUGAAAAGAGAAGGCAAGAAAAGAAAAGAACAAAAAGAAAACUCCAAAAAGAGAAUAAAAAGGAAGGUUGAUGAAAUCAAAAGAGACAACUAUCUCUAGUAUGAGCAUCAAGGGAGAAAAAGAAUGAAAUGAACAAAAAAAUAGAGUGAUAUCAAGUCUCUCUAGCCCCCAAUAAAUGGAAAUGCCUCUAAGAGUUGGUAAAUGUGAGCCAAGAAAUGAAAAUAUGGAGUGCAUAAGGAAGGGUGUAACCACUUAUCCCAUAUGGUAUCCUACCCCAAUCCAAAAACCUUCAUUACAACCCGAAAGAAGCCCUACUUGAUUAUGAACCGAGUAAGCUUACAUUAGUGAUAAUCUACAUGAGGGGCAAGCCUAUGGUACUUGAAACCUUACUUGUGACAUUUCUUUCUGAGAGAAGAUUGAACCUUUCAUUGAUCUAAAGAUUGAGUGUUAAUUCUUGAAGUGAGCUUGGCAAAUAGAAGGCAGAUGAGGAAGAGUUUGGGGUCUACCAUGAUUUACAUGAUAGAAUAAGAGUUGUCAAUUUUUUAAAGCUCAAGUGUCACAUUAGAGUUAUAUGUGCAUAAUAUGUGAUUUGUUACCUUAUUGAAAAAUGCAUGAGUAUUGUAGGUAAUUGUUGGUCCCAACUAAGUAUGAAUGGUUUACAAUUGACUCUUUGAAAUGACCUUUCACUUUGAGGAGGUGGGAACUAAUUUAUUUUCUUGAGAACAAGCAAAGACUUAAGUUUGGGGGAGUUGAUAAGUGUGGAUUUUAACCGCUUAUUAGUACCUUCUUGCUUUAGUUUUAGUCCGAAAGUAUUGAUUCAUGUUCCCAAAACUAAUGGAAUUGUACAAAUUGCAGGCAUGUCGGAGAAUUAGACCUCAACGGAAGAAUCUAACUUAAAAAGGAGUGUUCCAACUCAUAAAAUCAAGAAGGAGUGCAGCAGGCUAAAGUGCGGUCCGCAGAAAGAAUUCUACAGCCACAGAAGAAAGUGCGGUCUGCAGAAAUACCUCUGCGGCCGCAGAUCUGGUACUUAAAGCUUAGAGGGUGUUUGGAGAAGUGCGGUCCGCACACUAAAUGUGCGGCCGCAAAAUAAGGUAGCACUGACAAGAAUUCAAAAAGUUCAGAGACUGUGCAAAUGACCAAGUGUGAAGCCUUGCAAAAAGUGUAGCUGCGGAAGGAAAAGUGCGGCCGCAGAAGCUGAAGUGCAGUUGCAAAUGGAAUUGUGCGGGUGCAGAAUCUCUACACUUGCUGGAGCUAAGAAAAGUGCGGACCGCACAUGAAAUUGUACGGCUGCAGAACCUCCUGAAGGGCAUUUUUGUCAGCGAAUUUUGAGCUAUUAUAAAUAGACAUGAAAUACUUUUUUAGGGCAAGUUUUGUAAUAUUUAGACCUGUAGCCGUUAUAUUUUAUUGUUUUGGGUAAUUAGUGACAUUUUUGGGCUAAAAAUUAUUAGUUUUAUCAAUUUAAUCUUAGUUAUGGCUUUAAUUAAUUCUUCUUCUAUGUUUUCUUCAAUUUCUACAAUGAGUAGCUAGAUAUUCUCUAAGGUUGUGACCCAACCCUAGUGUGUAAUCCUUAUGGGUGAUUGAUUUAAUGCUUGAUUAUGAUUGUGUGUUUAUUAUUUUGCCUUGUUCAUGCAUUAUUUCUAGAAUUAAUGGUUGCAAAUAUUUAUUCAUGCCUAUUUGACUUGGUUCUUACUUGAGAAAGAGGAACUUAGUCUAAGAAAACUUGGCUAACAAGAAAUUGGGCUAGUUAAGGUUUUGGCUAGUCUAAUUAAAGGGUUUGAACUAGAGAUAGAAAAAACCCGUCUUGAGCUCAUAUCAAUUAUUUGAAUUGAUACCUAAUUGGGCUUGAGGAAGCCAAUUUGGGCAAAAUCACUCUAUAAUUGAGAGGUAUUUAGUGGGUAAUUUAGAGUUAAGAGUUAUAAUAUAUCCCGGUCACUAAAACAAGCAUUAACGUGAUUUAUCCAUUAGGCUAACACCUAGGUGAAGGUUAAAUCCCUAUGCCUUUUACCCAUUUGAUAAAAACAACAAAAAUAAUUACUUGUUUUCUAGUUUCUUCUCCUUAGUUGAUAAUUGUUAGUGUUAUUUUAGAAGUAGAAAAUAAAAUCCCUUGUUUGGAAGCGCAAUUAAGCUAUUUCAUUUACUCUCAUCAAGUGUACACCAUAACACUCAUAUUAAACUCCAUGUGGAAAUUGUCCCCGACUCUUGUUGGGUACUAUUCUUCCAACGACCGUUUUCACUCACUAUUGAGUGCGGAUUGGAUGUGGAUCACUCAUCGCUCCUAUAAAUCUACUCUCCGAGAAAUGAGGGGACUAUCUGUGUAUGGGUAAAAUCGGGGAUAAAAGUUACUCCCGAUUUCCUGAUGAAGAACCGAGGAACAAUGUGAUUCGAUGUUGGCUCGGGUAAGGCCGAGGGUGACCACAGAUCGGAAUCCGGGGGUGGAUGAAUGAUACGUCGGAGAUCGAGCAUGGUUAAACAUGGGAAGAAUCAAGCUCAAACGAAACAAAGUAUCGAGGGUAGAGGAAAAGACGGUUAAAGAGGACAAACGAGGAGCCGAAAUAUCCGCUAUCAGCCACAUAUUACGGCACAAAUCACGCCCGAUAUUAACUGCGGAUCUUGUUUUCUCGGGAUAUAAGGAAGGAAAGAAUUUUUACCUUAUUUAGACUUGUAUUAGGGUUAAAACUGCUCUACCAUAUAAAGAGGGGAACCUUUUCAUUUUUUGGGUCACUAUUGGCAUGCAUAUCGAAGCAAUAAAGUUUACUUUUGUCUUUUAGUAAUUGUUCAAGUGUUCUUCAAGUUAUUCAUCCAUUCAGUUGCAACUGAGCUCCAUUCCGAGGGCUCGAUUGGAACCGGUCUUUAGCAUUCAAAUCUAAUGACAGGCUUAAUUACUUCGUCACAUUUGAUUUGAUCGUUUUGUUUUCCUUUAAUUCAAUUACUUGAUGUUCUUUGACCAUUCGUGUUAAAUCGAAAUCACGUAUCUUUUAAACCGUGUACAACUUUAAUUGUUAUCCAUUUUUAGGAUAAACAAACAUGAUAAAGAAAAUGCCAAAAUGAAAUGGAGUUUUCUUAACGUACUUCGACUAUUAUAGUUAAUAUUAUUAGCAGUUAGUUGGCUCUACAAUCAUGUCAGAAGAAUACUUGGCAUCAUUAACGGAUAAAGAACUCAGUACCUCCCCAUUACCUCUGUAUAGUUUAUGUGUGUUGCAUGUUACCCAGUACUGUUAUACUCAAAUAUACUCUAAUAACCAAUACUUUCAAAAAGGUUGCAUAUCAUGGUAAACCUGCUUUCAUAUCAAAGUUUAUGUUAUACUUGCCUUUGCAACUAAAGGGAUAAAAAUAUUUCUCUCCUAACAAAAACAAGAAAAUGUAUCUUCUGCCUGUUUCAAUUCUCUUUACAAAUUUUCUCUUGGUCAUACACUAUUUUACUCUUCUAGUUUCUAACUGUAUUUCAAAUAAAAAAUUUGCCUUCUAUUAACGAAUUUUUAUAUAUGGUUUUAAAUUCAGGAAGACUACAAUCGUAAGGCGCUUGCAUAAGUUUUUAUUGGUAUUUGGUGGUUGAUUUUCUAUUUUAUCUUAUCAUAGAGCUCAUGCAGUUUGCAAUUAAUUCAAGUUUAUAUUUAUAUCAAAGUAGAAGCAAAGAAGACAUGUACAGAAUUUGAUUACAAUUAUAGGAAUCAUUAUGGUAGCUAUGCAUGCGUUUUUCUUUUUCAGUAGAAAGCAAAAAAUUGUUCUGUCAUUUUUAUACUUUUUACUGCAAAUUAUACAGGUCUUUUCCAUACAUAUUCAAGGUACUUUAAUUUAAUUGGAAAAGGAUCAAAAUAAUUUUCUAGUCUUUUUUUUUUGUAGUAUGACUUACAUAAUUAUCGCGGAAUAAUAUUUCAACAGCACAAGAGAUAACUAACAUCUUCGCGAAAUAAUUUGUUUUUAUCGAAGUGAGAUAACAAGGACCAGCCUAGUGCCAGCUACAUUCGUCCCUUCAACUAGUUAAAGCAAGCACUCCAGCUGUGGGACAUUUAAUUUACGGUAAAGGGCCAAAUAUCUUCUUCUAUUUUUUAAAAUGGUAUAAGAAUAUCCCUCGUUAUACUAUUGGGUUAUCCAUACCCCUGCAGUCAUACUUUGGAUUCAAAUAUACCCCUCAUUUAAACGGAAGGACACGUGUCAUCGUCCUGUUGGUCAAUUCUAAAUAUCUCCUAAUUAAUUAAAAACACUCAUUACUCAUACCCGAAAAACUAAACUUUUUUUUUGUUAAAAACUAAAAACNNNNNNNNNNNNNNNNNNNNNNNNNGAGUAUUCUUAGACCAUUUUCAAAAAUAAAAAGAUAUAUUUGGCCCUUUGCCGUUUAAUUUAUCAACUUUGAAUUAUGUAAACUCUUCUAGGGAAAAAAAAUGGAUAUCUCCUAGUUUCUGGGGUUGCCUCGGCUUAACGUAGAUGUAAUAUGAUUUUACAUGUAUAGAUUGAUAGUACAAGAAAUUAUCAUUAUCAAUAUAUUUUAUUGUAAUAAAUAAAAUAUUACAAUUAUUUGUAAUAUAUUUUAGAUGACCCAAUAAUUGAGAUUCUCUUUGUAAUCUAAAGUUUUUAGCAACUUUAUGAGAGAAAGUAGAGUUUUAUCAUUAUUCAUUAGUAAAGUGUACCCUUGUAAUUCGUAAAAUAUCAUGUCCGACAUUAUUUGACCUAAUUUAAUUAUAGAGUUUUUUCUUUGAUCCUAUCAUUGUAUUUUUAUGCAAUUAAUUAAUAUUUGCAUCUCGAUUACAGUGGAUAUUAAGAGGAUAUUUGGCUAAGCUUAUAAGUUGGUAACUCGCUUGUAAGUAAGUACCUUUUGACUUAUCUACGCGUUUGGUAAACACCCAAGGUGCUUAUAAGCCAAGUGAUUAUAAGUUAAAAUCAGUCAUAAGUCAUAAGUUGUGACUCCCUACUUAUGACUUUUUAGCUUAUAAGCACUUUUAGUUUGACCAAGUCUUUUACUAGUUUAUCCUUAAUAAUAUUUUCUAAUACACAAAAUAUUUUUCUCAAAAAAAAAAAUUCUAACUUUCUUUUCAUUCCAUAUUCGUUGUUCAUCUUUUUCUUUACAAAAAAAAAAUUUAAUUUAUAAUCUUUUGCAAAGUGUUAAGGAUAUUUUAGUCAUUUUAAUUAAAAAAAAUAACUUAUCAGCACUUUUCUACCAAACACAUCAACUGUUUAUUAUUAGUUUCAGUACGUCUAUCAGUUUUACCACUUAAAAAUAUUUUUCAAUAGUUCAACCUUAUCAGCUAUUUACAAUAAGCUAAUCCAAACGAGCUCUAAGAAAUUGGAUUAGAUAUUUUAAUUUUCUGUGAAUUUAAUUUUAAGAAAAAGAGUUGAUAAAAUUGGUAUUGACAAAAAAGAAAAAAGCUUUAGUCACAUAUAACCAAUAUGGAGUAUAAUAUAAAAAUUUCUUCCCAGAGGACAUAAUUUGAAACGAGCAAAAAGAAAGUAGUGCUAGUUUCCAAGUCUGUAAUUUAUUCGUCCAAAUGAAUAAAUCAUUACCAGGCAAGUUUACACCAAAUAAUCGAACAAUAAUUCAACUAAGAACUUGUCAUAAUCACAAAUCUUAACUUAAAUAACAACAACAACAACAACGAUCCAGUGAAAUCCUACUAAUUGGGUUUGGGGAGGGUAGUAUGUACACAGACCUUACCCCUACCCGAGAAAGUAGAGAGCCUGUUUCCGAAAGACCCUCGACUCAAGAAGACAAAAAGAGACAAUAUUAGUAUCACCAAUAGAAAUCAUAGAAAAAAUAACAUCAUAGAAAUGAGAAAUUAGAUGCAAAGCAAAAGGCGAUAGACUACAUAGACCCGGCACUAUGGUAAACAAAGGAGUAGUAAGACACAACAAUGCCACUAACUGACAUUGACAAAAACCCUACCAGACUAGCCUCANNNNNNNNNNNNNNNNNNNNNNNNNNNNNNNNNNNNNNNNNNNNNNNNNNNNNNNNNNNNNNNNNNNNNNNNNNNNNNNNNNNNNNNNNNNNNNNNNNNNNNNNNNNNNNNNNNNNNNNNNNNNNNNNNNNNNNNNNNNNNNNCCAUGUCCUCGGAAAUCUGAAGCCUCGCCAUGUCCUACCUGAUCACCUCUCCCCAAUACUUCUUAGGUCGUUCUCUACCUCUUCUCGUGCCCUCCAAAGUCACCCGCUCACACCUCCUUACCGGAGUAUCUGGGCUUCUCCUUUGUACGUGUCCGAACCAUCUAAGCCUCGCUUCCCGCAUCUUGUCAUCAAUGGGAGUCACGCCCACCUUCUCCCAAAUAUCUUGAUUCCUAAUCUUAUCCAUCCUAGUGUGUUCGUACAUCCACCUCAACAUCCUCAUUUCUCCUACUUUCAUCUUCUGGAUAUAUGAGUUCUUAACAGGCCAACACUCAACCCCAUACAUCAUGGCCGAUCUAACCACCGCUUUGUAAAACUUACCUUUGAGUAUCGGUGGAACUCUCUUAUCACACAAGACUCCAGAUGCUAACCUCCACUCCAUCCAUACCACCCCAAUACGGUGUGUGAUAUCCUCGUCAAUCUCCCCUCCUAUCUGGAUAACCGACCCAAGAUACUUGAAAUUGUCAAUACUUGGUAUGACCUGUGAUUCAAGCCUCACUUUCACGCCCACUUCCCUCGGCUCAGUGCUGAACUUACGCUCCAGAUAUUUCGUCUUCGUCCUUCUUAGCUUGAAACCCUUAGAUUCAAGGGCCUGUCUCCAGACCUCCAACCUCUCGUUAACACUGGUUCGCGACUCAUCAAUCAGAACUAUGUCAUCGGCGAAUAACAUACACCAUGGCACCUCCCCUUGAAUAUGGUGUGUUAACGCGUCCAUUACCAGGGAAAAUAAGAAUUGGCUGAGCACAGAACCUUGGUGUAACCCCAUAACAACUGAAAAAUGCUCGGAGUCACCUCCUACUGUCCUAACCCGAGUCCUAGCCUCAUCAUACAUGUUCUUAAUUGCCCAAAUAUAGGUAGCCGGCACGCCUUUUACCUCUAAGCAUCUCCACAGAACUUCUCUAGGAACCUUGUCGUACGCUUUCUCUAAAUCAAUGAAUACCAUAUGCAGAUCAUUCUUCCUCUCCCUGUACCGUUCCACCAACCUCCUAAUAAGGUGUAUAGCUUCCGUAGUAGAACGACCCGACAUGAACCCGAACUGGUUGUCGGAUAUAGAUACUAUCCUCCUCACCCUCGCUUCAACCACUCUCUCCCAAACUUUUAUAGUAUGACUCAGUAAUUUGAUACCCCUAUAAUUGUUACAACUCUAGAUAUCACCUUUGUUCUUAUAUAACGGAACCACCGUACUCCACCUCUAUUCUUCUGGCAUCUUCUUCGUCCUAAAAAUAACAUUAACAGCCUGGUCAGCCACUCCAAGCCUUCUCUGGCCACACACUUCCAAAAUUCAAUCGGAAUUUCGUCUAGCCCGGUCGCUCUGUCCCUACUCAUCUUAUGCAUAACUCUCACGACCUCCUCAACCUUGAUGCGCCUGCAGUCCCCAAAGUCACGGACAGAGUUCGAAAAGGUCAAAUCUUUGAUGAUUCCAUCAUCUAUGAUUGAGUUGCGAAAACUUCUGGAUAGGUAUUAGCCAGCCUUGCGGCGGCAAAAGGAUUAGACGUCCCCCCAUGCUACGGUUCCCUGCGGUCCAAACCCGGUGCCGCUUUAGGUUAGGGAGCUGGACGAUAAUAGCUCCUCCGCAUCCCAAAGCGCGCUGCCCUCCUAGGCGCGCAACACUAAGUAAUCCAAGCCAACCCACAUUACUGGUGACUCUCGGAAUUUUUAAGUUCACCUAGCACAAUAUCCCGAUCCCCUUUUUCAUUCAGAAGUUCAUGAAAGUAAGUCUGUCAUCUCCUCUUAAUCUGAGCAUCUUCCAUCAAUAGUCUACCAUCAUCGUCCUUGAUGCAUCUCACUUGGUCCAAAUCCCGGGCCUUCCUCUCUCUCGUCUUCGCCAGCCGGAAUAACUUCUUCUCUCCGUUUUUUUUUUCCCCAGUUCCUCGUACAUACGGCCAUAGGCUGCAGAUUUAGCCUUCGUGACUGCCAGCUUGGCUUCCUUCAUAGCUACCUUAUACCACUCCAUGCACGCUCUCCUCUCCUCCUCACUUGUGCUCCCUACUAAUUUUAGGUAUGAUGCCUUCUUCGCUUCCACUUUACCUUGGACCCCUUCAUUCCACCACCAGUCUUCUUUGUGCCUGCCAGAGACGACCGUCAAGAUCCCUAACACCUCUCUCGCAACUUCCCUUAUACAGUCUAUUGUCGUCUACCAUAUAAUGCUCGCGUCACCAUUGUUCCUCCAGGCUUCCAUAGCUAACAACCGCCCAUCCAACUCCUAGGUUUUAUCCUUAGUCAAGGCACCCCACUUGAUUCUCAGUCAUUCUCGGUCAGACCUUUUUCCUUAUCUUUAACAUAAUACCAACAUCCAUCACCAAGAGCCUACAAGAUGCAACUUGGGAGAUUCUGUCGUAAAUUAUGUGUUUGUUAUCUAAGUUACGGUAGCAAAUCCUGCAAGAUGCUCCUUAUGUUUCUACUGUAUUUACACUGGAUUUAACCUAUAUAUACGGAACAAUAUAAUUUUUAAUAUCAUCAACAUAUUAUGUCAUAGAAGGUAACCUUUUUCAUUCAGAAGUUCAUGAAAGUAAGUCUGUCAUCUCCUCUUAAUCUGGGCAUCUUCCAUCAAUACUCUACCAUCGUCGUCCUUGACGCAUCUCACUUGGUCCAAAUCCCGGGCCUCCCUCUCUCUCGUCUUCGCCAGCCGGAAUAACUUCUUCUCUCUGCCUUUUUUUCCCAGUUCCUCGUACAUAUGGCCAUAGGCUGCAGCUUUAGCCUCCGUGACCGCUAGCUUGGCUUCCUUCAUAGCUACCUUAUACUACUCCAUGCACGCUCUCCUCUCCUCCUCACUUGUGCUCCCUACUAAUUUUAGGUAUGCUGCCUUCUUCGCUUCCACUUUACCUUUGACCCCUUCAUUCCAUCACCAGUCUCCUUUGUGCCUGCCAGAGAUGUCCAUCGAGAUCCCUAACACCUCUCUCACAGCCUCCUUUAUACAGUCUGUUAUCGUCGACCGCAUAAUGCUCGUGUCACCACUGUUCCUCCAGGCUCCCAUAGCCGACAAUCGCCCUUCCAACUCAUGGGCUUUAUCCUUAGUCAAGGUACCCCACCUAAUUCUCGAUCGUUCGGUCGGACCUUUUCCUUCUCUUUAACAUAAUACCAAUAUCGAUCAACAAGAGCCUGCAAGAUGCAACUUGGGAGAUUAUGUCAUAAAUUAUGUGCUUGUUAUCUAAGUUGCGGUAGCAAAUCCUGCAAGAUGCUCCUUAUGCUUCUACUGUAUUUACACUGGAUUUAACCUAUAUAUAUACGGAAUAAUAUAAUUUUUAAUAUCAUCAACAAAUUAUGUUAUAGAAGGUAAUCUGUGCGCAUUAUAUAUAUUUAUAUAUUUUGCUUUAUGUAAACAAUUAUUUUUAAUAUUUUUGUAUGACACAGUAAUAGUUUAACAUUCUUUUGUUAAUGUAUAUAAAAAGAACACAAUCGAAUAAACUCUUUUUCAAGAAUCUAGUCUGGUGGGAAGCUAGGCUGGAAGUGCGACUUUCGAAGCUACUUCCCAUUUCUUUCUGCACAUCAUCACUGAGACAAGUUGAUUUUGGGGAAACAUGUAAAUGACGUUAAUAUGAGAAUGAAUGAUAACAGCACUUCGGCAAGUAGCAUAUAAAUAAAGAAUAGGAGUAGUUAUAGUGAUUGCUUUAUCGCAAAUUAUGAAAAAUAAAAUUGUAUUUCUUCAAAUUUUUUUAUCUAAGUCGUAGCUAGGCCCAAAAAUGUAUUUUUAGAAACUAAAUCAUAAAAUUAUAGAAUUCAACCUAAAUCAUCUUAGAAAACCAGUAACAAAAAUGCAAAAUAUCGGACUUAAACAUAAAGACGACCACAUAAAAAGAUAGAAUUACGGUAAAGUACUGUCAGAAAUAGGAAAAAGUAGUAGACCGGACGGUGGUUGAAAUAGAAGAAUUUUGAGGCCAAAGACGGCCAACACUGACUGGGGCUAGAUCAAUAAGAAAGAUCGACGUCUCUAUUUUGACUGUCUUUUAAAUCCACUCGAAUCAAAAGUUGUAACCAUUCUAAAGUCCUCUCGACAAACAAAAACAUGUAUGGCUAGUUUGGCCAAGCUGGAAAAAUCAGUUUAUUUUGAAAAGCGUUUUUUUUUUCAAAAGUGUUUUUCUCAAAAGUACUUUUGGUGAUAAGCAGCUUUUGUUUGACUAAUUAAUUUAAAAAAUACUUUUGAGCAGCAAUUAGUGUUUGACCAAACUUUAAAAAAUUACUUCUAAAUGUAUUUUUCUCAAAAGUAUUUUUCAAAAAGUACUUUUAGAAUGAAGAUAUUUUUUUCUGCUUCUCCUUCUCCUCAAAAAUACUUUUUUUUCUUUCAAAAGCUUGGCCAAAUACCUUAAUUUUAGAAAAAAAAAUAUUUUUGACCAAAAAAAAAUAUUUUUGGCUCAAAAGAAGCUUGGUCAAGCAGCAUAUUAGUCUCAAUUUCCUGCGAACCUUAAUUUUACGGUCCAAAUGUAUCGACUAGUACUUGUUCUACAUCACUCGUAGAAAUAUUAAGGCUAAAUACCAUUAUAGCCCCUUGAACUUGACAUAAAUUGUAUGUUAAACACUUCAAUUUAGUUAGUGGUGAGAUAAACACUUCAACUCGAUAAAAAUAUGUGUAACUUAAGCCCACGAUGUUCACACCCCAAGAAAGUAUAGGGUGGAUGGUACAUCUUUUCUUGUGCUAUAAAUACAUCACUCUUCUCUUUACUUCACAUCCAUAGUGAAGGCCAGCUCAGAUUUCAGAGCUCUAAUCAGUUUUCUCCUUGCUACCCCAUUUCUUUUUAGUAUCUGAAACAAUGGCAUUCCAAAAGGCGUUCGCUGUUUUGCUUAUUGCAUCACUUGUGCUUGUCCAUUUCACUCAUGCCCUUCAACAGGUUCCUCUUUUUUAAAAGCUCAAAUACCAUGUCAUGUUUUAACUUUCUUUCAUCUUGUAACAACGUUUGAUUUUGGAAUAUUGAUGCAGGGAAAUAGCAGCAAGCCACCAGCACCAAGCCCUCAAGCUCCAAAGCCAUUAGGUAAUAUAUAUAACAUUUAUAUAUUUCCUCCACGACAAAUUAAUGUACAAAUUUCUAAAUUACGAUAAUUUUGAAUCCAAUAACUCUAAAUUCUGAAUUCGAUUAUGUUACAGAUUGCACAGGAGCUUGUAAAUAUAGGUGCAGUGAAACAUCUCGGCCAAAUCUAUGCAACAGAGCUUGUGGAAGUUGCUGCCGUACCUGCCACUGCGUGCCACCAGGGACCUCAGGCAAUUAUGAAGCUUGCCCUUGCUACUUCAACCUUACUACUCAUAACAACACCCGCAAAUGUCCUUAAACAGUGAUGGGAACUUACGUUUUCCCAAUUUGCAUGUUCUCCUCCAAAUGUUCCUCUUAAUUAUUGAAUUUGUUGUGUAUCAUUAAGUAUGCCAGCUGUUGAUUUUGAAAUAUAAUCAAUUUUUUCGUGUGUACGAUUGGAAGUUCAGAGUGUUUAAUGCAAUAUUAAUGGAUACAUACUGCUCCUAUUUAUUUGAUUUCUAUAGCCCUUAGCUUGUUGCACGUAGAAGAGGACUGUUAUCGCUGUCACUGUCUGUGGACUAUGGUUCCAAGCUAGCUAGUGUAUGUAGUUUCGUUUCGUAACUUGGAAGUACAAGGAGGUUGUUCACAUAUCCAAC